Molecule: long non-coding RNA, 58388 nt
Filed under: Brassica rapa (field mustard)
Lineage: Eukaryota; Viridiplantae; Streptophyta; Magnoliopsida; Brassicales; Brassicaceae
Description: long non-coding RNA (BRAP_LNC005320)
Rfam family: MIR9555 microRNA precursor family (bases 22282-22414)
Source: RNAcentral
UUUUUUUUUUUUUUUAAUGAAUGUAAAAUUUAUUCAAACAAAAAUAGUACUACAUCAAGUGCUUCUUUGUUUUUAUGAAAUAUAAACUUUCCUACUCCAAAAGAAAUAGAAUCUACUUCUUCAUAAAUCUAGUCUUGUCCCAAACCAAGUAAUCAGCCCUUCUUCUAAGUAAUUUCCCUUCCCUUUCACUGCAAGUAGCUUUAGUCUUAUAUUUUUAUCUACAAGCUGUGUCAGAGUAGCCAUGGUUUUAGGAUCUUCCCCAUGCCUACGAGUAUUCCUCUCCCACCAAAUUGUGUGCAUCGCAGCCUGUAGAGUGUAUCUGAGGAGGAAAGUCUUGAUAGGCGUUAGCCAAGGCUUCGAGACAAUCCUUAUCAGGUUACUCCAAUCAGUAGUGAACAUGUCUUGCAUAAGACCUCCAGCCAGGUUCCUCCAAACGUUCUCUGAAUACCGACAUCCAAAGAAGAGGUGUGCACAUGAUUCAGAUUCCUCAUUGCACAGGACACAUUCUGUAUUUAUAGAAUUAUUCCAUCUCAUCAUUCUAUCAGUUGUCUGCAACCUCCCCUUCAAUGUAACCCAUAUCAUGAACGAGUAUUUCGGAGUAGAAUGAGAGAACCAUACACCCUUACUCCAAUCACAAAUCGGUUUAGUAUCUCGAAUCUGGUCCCAAGUGUUACUUGUUGUAAACUUAGCCAUAUACUUCCCUUCAGCAUGCUUCCAAAGAGUAAUAUCUUCAUCUUGUUGAUUCCCAAGUUUACGUAUCUCCUCUUCAACUUGAUUAAGAAUAUCCACUUUGUGAUUUCUUCUUCUUCUCAUUCUCUUAACCUCCGCAACAGAGAAACUGUUAGGAAUCCCCAAAUCAAGUGGACCUCUCUCUCCGAGUAUCUCUAUUAAUGGACCAAAUCGAGACCAACUCCCAUACCAGAAAGAAGUACACUCUCCAUUUCUGAUUUCCUUCCUGAGAAACUGCUGUGCAAGACCCCUUAACUUUAGUAAUUUUUUCCAUACCCAAGAUCCAGAACUUGUGUUCUCUUUGAUCGACCAGAACGAGUUCUUCCUGAUCAAAUAACACUGAAUCCAUCUGACCCACAAUGAUGAAUCUGCCAUCAAUCUCCAAAUAAGCUUCAAACCGUAUACUUUAUUGAUUUCUUUCAAAGGUCUCAUCCCUAACCCUCCUUCAUUUUUGGGAAAGCAGACCUCUCUCCAACUGACUUUUGCUUUGGUUGUAACUAGCCACUUUGCAAACAAUUGAGAAUUGAUAACCAUAUAAAGUGGAGUUGAUCGUAUAUAAUUAUUCAGUGGCAUAUUUCCUAAAUCCUUUAUAUAUCACAAGGUGUUUUUCUGCACAAUGUAGAGUAGUAAAAUUAUAAUUUUAAAUUAUAUUUAAAAUAAAUUUAUUAUUAUUUUAUUGCUUUCUUACUAAAGUUUUAAUAUAAUUUUGAUUUAAUUAAAUAUAAAAUUAAGUUAAAAAAACAAUUUUGUUUAUUUUAAAUUAUAUCUAAGAAUAGAUAUUUAUAUAUUUAAAAUUAUAAUUUUAGAUAAAUUUUCUUAUCUAUUUUUAGAUAAAAUAUAUUAAAUAAACUUGUAUAAAAUUAAUAAAAAAAUUGAUAUAAAUUUCUAUAAUUAUUAAAAAGUAACACUAAACAGUAUUUCUAAAAUUUGUAUAUAAAAGAAACUAAUAAUAUUAAGAUUAAAAAUUUAUAAUUUUAAAAAAAUUGUUAAAAAUGAAAAUAUUUUUUAGUAAGAAACUGUAUGAUUAUAAGAAAUAAAAAUAAAUAAUAUUUCGAAAUUUAUAAAGUAUUAUUAUAUUUCUAUUAUUAUAUUAUUUAAUUUUAUGUUUGAAUAUAAUUACUUUAAUGAAUAUAAUUUACUACCAUAUUCUAAAAAGUGUACCAAAAAUAUAAUUAAGCAUUACAUGUAAUUUUUCUUGUCACAUUUAACCAUAAGUAAUGUCAUCAUUUAUAUCAUGCCAUAUCACAUUUAUUUAGUGAAAAUGACUGUACAAAAGAGAUGUGUCAAAAUCACUUUGCAAAUAAUGUCUAAGGGAUUUGAAAAGUAUUACAAUAUCUGAAGAAGCCACGUGUCGUCAUCGAAAUAAUUUAAAGAAAUAGGUUGGUCCAUCUAAAUAUAUACUAUUUUUUCAUAAACUAACCAUAAACUCAAUUAUCAAUGUUCUUCAUACUUUUCUUAGAUAAAAAUUACUAAAUUACCUAAUGUGAUUAAAGUAUAUAUGACAAUUAAUGAUUUAUAAUAAUAAAUUCUCAUUUAAGAAUGCUUUGAUCAAAAAUACAACUAAUUAUAAAAUCAUAUAAGUAGAAAGUCUCAUUUAAUAAGUAUUCAUAUUAAAAUAUAUAUAUAUAUGAUUUUUAGGUACAUAAAUAUUUUAAUUUCAGAAUGCUUUGAUCAAGUACCGAGAACUUCAUAUUUCAAUUUUGAACAUUUUAUAGGAUUUUUAAAAAUGAUAAUAAAUUACUAAACUAUUAAAUUUCACACAUUGAAAAUUUUGUUAUUAGUGUAUUAGAGUUUUUUUUUAAAGAUACAAAUAAUCAUAAAACAGGUGAGUAAAAAUCUUCAUUUAUAGAUCAGCCAUAUUAAAAAUACACUAUAUCAAUGCUAAUAUCAUUUAAAUUUAAUUAUAUACCGUAUAAAAUAGGUUAAAUUAUUGUUUGAAUUUAUAAAAUAUUGUAAAUAAAAAAAUUGAUUGUUUUGAUUUAUGUACUCACACCAAUUUUAUUAUAUAGGUAAUAGUUACUAACUUCUUAAAUUUUUUAAUAUAUAUUAAUUAUUUUAUUAUUUCUUUUUGACUUUAUUAUUUUAAAACACACAAAAAGCACAUUGUCAUCAGACAUGAAUUUCUCAUUACCAAAUGUAAACUUAAAGACAAUAAACAACAAUGUCAACAUACAUAGAACUAAACACACACAAAGAACUACAUAGAACAAUGUCGACGUACAUAGAACCAAACAACAAUGUCGACAUCAACGCCUAGCUUGCUACAUCUUUCUUGCAAAUGUCACAAUACAAACACACACAAGGCACACUGUCAUCAAAGCUUUCUAAUUCCUGAUUUCUAUCUUGCUCUUUGCUAUUUGUAUGUGAGGAGGUUGAAGAUGCUAUUCCUUCAAAUCUUCAAUAAAAGUCUUUAACUCAUCAACUUCGGUUAUAGUAGUAUUUUCCCUCUCAAUGAUUUUGAGUUUGGGAAUAGCAUCUUCAACCUCCUCACAUACAACAUCCUCAAUCCACUUAAAUAAAUGCUCUUAAUUCAUGAUCAAAUUAGAUAUCUUUCUGUCUUUUUUUUUUUUUGAAACACAGAUAUCUUUUUGUCUAAAUAACUAAACAACAUCUAAGAAGCUUACAUCUUUUUUACUUUUUUGCUUAUACAACAGUAGAAAAGUCUUCAUGGAUUAGCUUGUGUCUUCGAUAGUAAAAGUACCACACGUAAUCUACACUCACACUUCGUUGGGAACCCAUGAUCUCCUACUCCAGAUUGUAUCUCUGAAGAUGAACUUAUCAUGAAAUCGAGACAAAACUUUGAAGAAAUUUUUUAGUUUUCGAUUUUUAGAGAAUUAGGGAUUUAGUUUUCGAGAAGAAAGAAUUUUACGGGUUUUCUAAUUUACAAAAUGACAGAAUGUUAGUUUAACAAAGAUUAUAAACGAAGAUUAACCCGUAUAUUCAAUCUGCUACCUCAGUAACAACGUUUUAAAAUUGGUUUAGUCAAAUUAACUCGAGGCUUUAAGUGGUUGGUUAGUCAAGAUAAAUUGGUGAUUUAAAUGGUCCAAGGAAAAAUUCAUGUUUUUCAACCAAAAUUUGAAAGCUCAAAAUUUAAAAGAAUAAAUUUCUCAAUUGUUAGGAGAUAAAAUUAGUAAAAGUUAGAAGUAAAAAAAAAAAAGAAAAAAAGUGCUGACCAGAGUGAAAAGAAAAUAAAAAGCCAAAAUGAGAGGAAAAAAGAGAAAGAAAUCCCCUUUUUAUUUGUUUUUUUCAAAAGAAACUUGUGGCUGAGAACCCUAAAGACUAUUGACGUGGCACACUGGGCGAAUCAAAAGGUUGUACAAACUCGCGAGAUCACAGCUUAACUGUAAUCUUUUCUCUCCCAUACACAAAAAGAAAAUAACUAAACAAAUCGACCAGAAACAAAAAAAAAAAUCAGACAACCACCGAAACAGAAGACAGGACAGUCUUUUCUUUCUCUCGCUGUCUUCUCAAAAGUUUCCGCUUUUUCUAUAUUCUCGCUGGAGGACAAGAAGAAAAUUGAUGUCUGAUCCGGCGAUGAAGCUAUUUGGGAAGACGAUUCCUUUACCUGAGCUUGUCUGUGUUGAUUCUUCUUCUAGCUAUACCGAACAUCAACACCAGAAUCCAGUUCGGUUAUCAGAUUCUUGUACCGGAGAUGAUGAAGAGAUGGGUGACUCCGGUUUAGCAGGAGAUGAUGUUUGGUUUCACGGUGGAGACAGCGAGAGUGAAAAGGUAAUGUCUUUUUGGAUUCUUGGAUGCAUUUUCAAGAAUACCCAUGACAGAUUUGUCGAUGUUAGAUUAAGUGAAUCAAGAUCUCAAACAGUUUCAUUCGGUUUUGAUUCCAUGGAGAUGGUUCCUAGUCUUUCCUCAGAUGGGAGAGUCUAGCUUUUGUUUUUUCUAUCUUCGGUUUGAUGUUUGUUUGAUUUUUAUACAGAACAACGAUCUUUGCUUGUUCCUUUAUGAGUAACAUUGUUACAUAUUAGGAUACUGAUGCGACUAUUGCGAUGUAUUAUAUGUUGCUCCAGGAAGAGAAAGCUAAUCAGUGUGGGGAAGAAUCUAGUAACGUUACUAUGGCAUCAUCUACAAAGACGGAUGAAGAGUCGUCGUCACAGAACAACGAGACUUGCUCGCGAGAGGGGAAACUAAAGAAACCCGACAAGAUUCUGCCUUGCCCUCGAUGCAACAGCAUGGAGACCAAGUUAUGUUACUACAACAACUACAACGUUAACCAGCCUCGCCAUUUCUGCAAGAAAUGUCAGAGAUAUUGGACAGCUGGUGGAACUAUGAGGAACGUUCCUGUUGGUGCAGGGAGACGCAAGAACAAGAGCUUGGCUUCUCAUUAUAACCGUUAUGUAGGCAUAACAUCUGCGGAAGAUAUGCACAAGGCAGCGGCAAGAACCGAUCCUAAUCUCAUGACUAUUGGAUCUGAUUCAGUCCUUUGUGAAUCCAUGGCUUCAGGUUUGAAUCUUGCUGAAAAGUCAAUGUUGAACACACAAACCGGACUGCAAGAAGAACCCAAUGAAGGUUUGAAGAUUACCGUUCCUUUAAAAAACAAGGAGACUGUAGCAAUCAGCCCAAGAACGUGGACGGUAUUACCGUUUUACCCUCCACCAGCUUACUGGAGCUGCCCGGGGGUUUCACCAGGGACAUGGAACAGCUUCACUUGGAUGCCACAACCCAUUUCACCAUCUGGUGGGUCUAGUCCAUAUUCCCCAACACUUGGUAAACAUUCACGAGACGAGAGCAUUGCUGAACCAGGAACAAAAAGAAUAUCCGGGAGAUGCCUGUGGGUUCCCAAGACGCUGAGGAUCGAUGAUCCAGAGGAAGCUGCUAAAAGUUCGAUAUGGGAAACACUGGGAAUCAAGAAGGACGAAAAGGCAGACACUUUCAGGGCUUUUAGGUCAUCACACAAAGUAAAAAGUUGUCUUUCUGAUGGAAAACUUCCGGGAAGACGACUGGAACUGCUAGCUAAUCCUGCUGCUCUUUCAAGGUCAGCGAAUUUCCAUGAAAGCUCAUAGAAUGAAGAUGAAACUAAGCAGAUGAUUUGAUUGUUUUGGGUUCAGUCUUGUGUCCCAAGAAAAGCAGGUGAGUCCUUUUGUAAAUAUAGCUAUUUAUAUAUAAUGGUUGACAUAGUGAGGGAGAAGUAGUUUUUGGAUUGAAGAGUGAAAGUUUGUUUGUUCGAUAUAAUGGAAAACCCCAAAACUGUAGUUAAAUAAAAUAUUGUUUAUGGUCUCGAAAUAUUUGCCACAUUUCCAUUAAGACAUACAAAAUGUAGUUUAUGCCGAUCAUAUGACUCUGUCUGGUCACAAACAUUUUAAAAUGAGCAUUGAUUUCUAAAUAACAGUCUCCUCUCCAAAGUAUUUUGAUAUCUACUUUAUGAAUCAAUGGUGUAAGAAGAACUCAAAAUCACCAAAACGUGAGAGUCAAUAUUCACUGAUCUAUAUGGUCAGUCAGAGUCUGAACUAGACCUGGGCAUUUCGGAUAUCAGUUCGGAUAUUUCGGGGUUUCGGGUAGUUCGGAUAGGUGGUUAGAGGAUCCAUUUACUACUUGACCUAUUUUCGGUUCGGUUCGGUUCGGAUAGUAAAUGUGGAAGAGAGAGAGAGAGUAACAUUUAUACUUUAUAAAUUGUAGUAAGUAUUAUUUAAAAUAAGUAAAAAUUUAAAUAAAUUAAUAACAGGUAUUAAUAAUUUAAUAAGAAAAAUAUAUAGAGAAAAUUUGAACAGAUUAGUUAAGAUUAUUGCAAUAUACAUUUAUAUCUAUGUAUAAUAACAAAAAAAACGCAUAUAAACAUAUAAUAUUACGUAUGUAACUUUUAACGACCAAAAUAAUUAUACAAUUUAAAUUAUAAGAGAAUUUUAUUUAAAUAAUUUAAAUGGAAAUAAUAAAGUUUGUAGAAAGUUUGACUAACAAAUAAAUAGGUUAUUGAAAAUAUUUAUUAAUUAAUCAAAAUUAAAUAUUGGACAAUUGCUAUGUUUCAUAAGCUGAUAAGUUUCUUUACAAAACCUAAAAAAAAAACAAACGUAGACAACUAAAUAAUAAAAUACUAACUCAAUUUAGUUCAAACUCUAAUCGAUGCAAUUUUCUUUGAUGUUGAUUUAACAUCUUAUUUGUUUAUUUUGUAAAGAAGACAGCUCAAAAGUCAGCUGUCUUCUUUACAAAAUAAAAAGAAAAAGACAACUCAAAAGUAUAUCUGUUUCUGAAAGCGGUUAGGACAUAGUUGCGUGAUAUGAAAACCAUACAUACGACGUAAAAGAAAAAUCAAACAUGGAAAUUUGUAAAUUUCUGAAACUAGUAUUAAAAAAAACUGAAAUGUAUCCCACGGUAGGAAGUAGGAACACGAUGAAGCGAGACGUAACAUAUCUAUUGACAAUCGUAACUUUAUAUAUAUGUAUAAAAUACAGUUUUCCAAAAAGAAAUACUAAAUAUAGUUUAACUUCAUAGAAAAAUACAAAAAAUAGUAUACUACCAUGAAUGGUGCACAAGAAACUUCCUCUCAACUUACUUUGUAUUCUUCUUUCUUAUAUUAAGUUUCUAUGUAAGUUUCAUCUUUUCCUAUCCGUCCUAAUCUCUUCUUGCAACUGCAACUUCCUCAGUUUUGCAUCUCCACCUAAAACUCUGUCCACAUUGACUAUAUAUAUAACCUUAUAACACAAUUCAUAUCUCCCACAUCUCUUCCAAAACAUUUACUUCAUUCAUUUGCUAAGCUUUUUUAGUUUUAGAAUCUAACAAAAGUUAUGACUGCAAACCACUUGUACUGUCUUAUAACCAUGGAAAAGAGUUCCUUGUCCCAAUGCAAACAUUCUUCUUCUUUCCCUUUGUUUGGUCUGGUGGAUUUUUUCCUCAUCGGCUUUUUCAGAUGGGUUUCUUUCGCUCAGAUCUUUUUCUCCAGGUUCUGUCAUCUUCCUCAACACGAGCAUUGUGUUUCGGAGAAGAAGAGCAAAGAUCUUGAAAUCCAGAGUUUGAUCAAACAUGGUAAUGGUCUUUGUAUAGAAGAUGCAGAGAUGGUGAUGCAAAGCUUAGGACUUUUCACCGACCAAGAAAGCGAGGGACUUCAGAAACGUUACAGUUCAGAGGAACUAUCGAAUCUGUUUGAAGAGAAAGAACCAAGUUUGGAGGAAGUGAAGCAGGCUUUUGAUGUCUUUGAUGAAAACAGAGAUGGAUUUCUUGAUCCCAUAGAUCUGCAGAGAGUUUUGUCAAUCCUUGGUUUGAAGCAAGGAUCUAACCUUGAGAACUGCAGAAGAAUGAUCAGAUCAUUCCACGGAAACAAAAAUGGAAGAAUCGAUUUCCAGGGAUUUGUGAAAUUCAUGGAGAACAACUUCUGCUGAAAUCAUAGUUUCUGGAGUAACAAUCUAUGAACUUCUGUUUCUGUUAAUGUUGUUGUCUCAUUACCUUUUUGUAAAAUAUUAUUAUAACUUUAAUAUCAAAAGCUCCUAUAGAGCGAAAAACCAGUGAGAUGAUGAAUAAUUCUCACAUACCUAGAUACAAUUAAAACCAAAAGCUUCCAAUAGUGUAAACUGUGAGACACUAUUUACACCUAAAAAUGAUAACUAGAGAACAUUAAGAAAAUGCUUACGAUGAUCAAAGCUUGUGAGGCGGCAAAUGAUCGGUUUAAAUCAUCACCAGUAAUCACAACAAGAACAGUGACCGUCUUGAAAAUGAUGGAACCGGUUGGAAUCCCUGACAACUAUUAACCGGUCAGAGAGCCUUGAGAUAAGCUUGAUUGCAGAGUGACAAUCAUCACAUAUCCUCACGUUUUUAGUCACGUACAACGGUGACUUGUCAGGCGUUUUCAUCAGACCGUAAGCCACAGCUAGCUUCUCGCUAUGAUAAGAGAGGUUGUUCUCUCUCUGCUCUUCGUCUACAUCAUGGUAAGCUCCAGCAAUAUCAGGCGCAUACCCUAACGGCCUGAUCUUUGCCAAAACUUCCUUCACCUUUUCGUAAAUCAGCACAAUCUCGGCGUGUUGAUUAUCCUCUGAAAGAAACACAUGGGUUUUGUUUCGUAUACCUAUCCAGCUUACUCCAGGCUCCUUCUUAACACGCCUCUCCUUCAUCAAAGAACGCACUCUAGCCACACCGUCCCAUUCCUUGGACUUGGCAUGGAUAUUGGACAACAAUAUAUAGAUCCCUGAAUCGUUCGGAUGCAUCUCAAUGGCGUAUUCCGCCACCUUCUUUCCUAAACUGUAGUUCCUGCGAACGUAGCAAGCAUUUAGCAACGCUCUCCAUGCAACAACAUCCCAUCCUAUAGGAGCUGUUCUCAUGAAAUACUCAGCGUCUUCGAACAAGCCAGCCUUGCUCAAGAGUCCAACAACGCAUGUAUAAUGCUGUAGAUCAGGCUCAACACCAAACUGCUUCAUCAAAUGGUUAAAGUAGUAAUGACCUUGCUCCACGAAACCCAUAUGGCUACAAGCUUGCAACACGCCGAUGAAAGUUAUGCGGUUAGGGAACUCUCCCGCAGACAUCAUUUCCUCAAAGGCUUCAAGCGCUUCCAUCCCCAGUCCAUGAUGUGAGAAGCCACAUAUCAUUGUGUUCCAAGUAACUAUGUCUCUAAAAGCCAUGCCUGAGAACGCUUUCCACGCAUCCUCGAUGCUGCCGCUUUUGGCGUACAUGUUAACUAACGCAUUGCCAACCAUUACAUGGUUCCUAAAACCAGAUUUCACGACAAGACCGUGUAGAAGAUCUCCUUGUCUUAGAAGAGAGAGCUCAGCGGUCGAGUUUAACAAAACAGCAAAGGUGAACUCGUUAGGUGGAACCUCUUUGGUUUCCAUCUUUGCAAACAGAUUCAGAGCCUCCUCAUAAGACUUGUUCUGGAAGUAAGCAUCCAUGAUCGAUGUGUUCAAGACGAUGUUUAGAGUUUUCGUACCAUUGUAAACUCUCUGAGCAUAUAAAGGGUUACCACAUUUACCAUACAUGUUAAUGAGUGCACCACUAACAUCAUCAUGACAGUCGAAACCAAGCCUUACCAUUCGGCUAUGAACCUGCCGAGCCAACUCCAAAUCUCUGAGACUGGAGCAAAGCUUUAAAGAAGACAUGCACGUGAAGUCGUCCCACACCAAAUCUUCCUCAGCCAUCCUUCUCAAAACAUCAAGCCCUUCUUCUAAAGCACCAUGCUCCAAAUACCCACUAAGAGCCGAGUUAAAAGCAAGAAGAUCACAACACGGAAGAUCAUCCAAAAUCUUGAUAGCCUCUCUCGUUCCAGAACAUGACGCGUACAUGUAGAGAAGCGUGUUCCGUACAUACUCAUGUGACAUCAAACCAUGUUUAAGAAAACAUCCAUGACACUGCUUACCUUCUUCGAUUCUCCCAGAGUUCGAACAAGAUUUAAAAACUAUGGUGGCUACAAACUCAUUAGGCUGCGAUUCGCCAGAAAAAAUCAUACUUUUGAAAAGCUUCAAAACUUCGAAAUCAAACCCAGAAUCUUGAUAACCUUUCAUCAACGAACACCAAGAAACCACACUUCUCUCAGGCAUUGAAUCGAACAGCUUGUGUGCACGAACUGUUUUCCCGCAUUUCAUGUAGAGAUUGAUCAGAGAUGUGAUUUGCCAUGCGUGCUCAGCUCGAGAUGAUUGGUUCCUUAUGAUCAAAUGAGCGUGAAUCGAUUCACCAGUCCUCAGAUAACUUGAUUUGGCACAGACUUUUAAGUGAGCACAAAGGUGAUCAACCCGUGGAAGAGCUUCUAUUGGUUUGGGUAAUAAAGACGUAAGCUUGUUCAGCUUUACCACUCUUCGUUCGAGUAUAGGCAAGACGGACAUGGCACCAAAGUUGCUCCUUAUCCCAAAAUCACCAAAACCCUCAAAAGGUUUAACGGAGAAGAAGAAACUCAGUCUCUUAAAGAGGUGUUCGGUAAAAUUUCGGGUUUAAUUUCGGUUUCAGUUUUUUGGGAUUAAAUAUUCAAUUUGGUUAGACCGGAAAUCUGAAUUCCGGUAUGGUUUCGGUUUAACUUUGAUUGAAUAUCAUCGCAGCUGCUUCAAAAGGGUGAGUGACUGAGUGUGAAUAGAAUCAAGGGUUUAGGAUUUGUGAAUUUCGUUAAGCUUAGAAGAACACAGAUCUGCAGCAGUUUUUCCUCUGCUAAUUGGUAUAUAUAUAUAUAUAUAUAUCUUCAACGAUGGAACCAAUAUUUUUAAGCUUGCAAGCUUAUCCAACAACAUUCAUCCUCUUAAGCUUCAAGCUUGACCUCUAUAUCCACGUCCACUUCUGCCAUGUCCUUUUUGCCUUGUGAUGUAGUGAAACAUUGCUGGUGAGUGUUUGCGUAUAGAAGUUCCCCUUGUGUUUCUGCAUUGAUAUCUUCAUUCUUGAUUCUCUCAUCGUAUGCCUUCAGCCUUCCAAUAAUAUCUUCAAAACCUGUUGUCUUAGGACUUGUUCAAGUGAAGGUAUUAUGUGAAUGAAUUUGUUUCUAGGAACACUAUUGAGAAACUUUCGAACAAGCUUGGAUAUAUCUCAUGUCCAAGCAAAGCCGAUUUUGAGACUAGCUCUGAUAACUUUCCCGCAAAGCUAUAUUGUUUAUGAAUCCUUUAUCUUAAUUAUUUUGAAUUUAGACAUUAGGGUUUGUAAUCUUGCUUCCUUGACACGAUCAGCUGAUAGGUUUCUUGAUUUAAUUUCGUACCAUAUCCCCUUAGGUCUGUCUUGUUCAACAACUUGCAUAAUAAGACCCUCUGGAAUGGCUUGAAACAAUAAUCAUAUUGCAAUAUUGUUUAUAUCGAAAUCAUCCGUACCUGGCUCAAUCAUAUCCAACACCUUGUAUAUCUUCAGCAAGAUCUUCAUCCUCAUAGACCACACCAUGUAGUUUUUCGUGCUGCAUUGGAUCAUCGGUGGUGAGAACUCCUUUGAACGUGUUGCAAGUUCGUCUCCCAUGGCUCGUGAUUAAUGAACGUCGAUCAUACAUCCAGUUGACCCAUCAAUCAUAUUUAUCUGUGUCAAAAAUUUUUUUUUGUAAAAUUGAAAAACAUAAGCGUAUAUGGAGCACCGAACUUGAGUAUAAGGGUGUCAAACCUUUAAAAAUACCAUGUGGACUGAUGAUUCUAUAGAACUUACAAUUAAAAAAAUAUUUUUAUCGUUUCACCUGUGUCAACUCACACCCUAACAGAGCGGAAAUAAAACAGAGGUAACUUUAAAUUUUCAGAAUACCUGUUAUCUAAGUCUUUUUUGAUCUGUUAAAUUCUUAUAGAAUGCUCUAAAUUUUAUAAAUAUCAAAUCAAAAGUGUCUUUGACAAGUCAAGAAUUUCACUAUAUAUAACACAAUGAAAAGCCCUAAGUCGCUAGGGAUUAUAAGCUAAUCUUUUAUCUUGAAGUCUUACUCCUAAUUAAUCCUAAAAAAAACAUAUUAAUGUUUAUUUAAAACAAUAAAGGAAAAUAGAAAGCCAAAGCUUAAUGAGAUAAUGAUGUAUGCUACGUCAGGAUCCCUCCCCUACGAAAAAGCAUCCACGAAUCCUGAAAGUAAGUCAUCGAUUCGGUUCAUGCUUGAAGAGAUGCUUGACGUUGAAGAGUCUGUGGUGUGUAUGUGUGAUGGCAACGGUAAUCUGUACGCAUUUGGAUUGAUCUUCUCGAGUACUUCGACGGGUCCAAUCUUACGCAGCUUUAACUUAUUGUACUGUUCUGUUUGAAACCUCUCCUUACUAUGCAUGGCCCAAAGGUAAUCUCCCACCUGAAAAUGUAUUUCGGGCCGAAGUUUAUCUGCUUACUCUUUGUACUUAAACGAAGAAGCCUCUAGAUUACCACGAGCCAAAGCAUGGAUGUGCUCGAGCUCAGUAACGAGGUCUACUGCUCGCCCAUGAAACUCACCCGACUGAGGUCUAUGAGGAACAAACCCAUACACGACCUUGAAAGGACUGAAGCCUAGACUCCAAUUAUGAGUGUGAUUAUAAGCAAACUCUGCUUGACACAAGAUAGAAUCCCACGACCUGAGGUUAUUGCCAACCAAACAUUGUGGAACUCAUGUUCAGACUGAUCUUCAAAAGCUUCCACAAAGAUUUUCAAAAGUGGCUUAUGAAGCGAGAGUCCCUGUUGGAUACAAUCGAUAUGGGAAUACGGUGUAACCUAUAAACUUCGCGAAAGAAAAGUUGUGAAACUUAAACAGCAUAUAUUGUCUUUUUGCAAAAAAUAAAGCGAGUCAUUUUGAAAAAAAAACGAUCAACGCAAAUAUGGAAUGGUUACCACGUUGGGCUCGCGGUAGACUAACAAAAUCCAUACUGAUAUCGCUCGAAAACUGCGUAGGGAUCGGAAAUUUUUACAUUCUAAGACACAUUAUGACUUAUGAAUUACACAUAUAGACACAUUCUGCUGGUCAGACACUUUAUGGAUGUGUAUUGUCCUUCAUGCCCUCAAACUAGACCAACUAUCUCAUCUAAUUAAUUAAAGAGAAAAGACUAUUUCUUAUUAUUGAAAAGUCACGAGUCACAUAUUCUCUCUCCAUUCCCGAUUUCAAAACUCAGAUCUACUUUCCCUUUCCCAAAUUCCCAACCCUAAUUUCGAAUCUCUUCCAUUCAUCCUUCAUCGUUCGUUGAAUCACACCAUGAACCCAUAUUUUUUUAUGCUUGUUUUGUUUCCAUGAUUCUCUCUCCAACUUUCUACCCAUCUUCCUCCGCUUCCCGAUAAUUCUCAGAAAACCCUUUUAAUAUCUUCAAACAAACCAUGACGAAAUUGAAGCCAAAUAAGAAAGAGAAUAAAUCCAAGACUUCUGAGGAACCAACCCCUCGCAAAUCGCAGCAGGAGGUUUUGUCCAUGUCCACGUUUUAUAUACAUGUCCACAUUUUGGUUUGAUCAAUUGUGUCCAUGUCCACGUUUUAUAUACAUCCAUGUCCACAUUUUUACUCUGUCAAUAAACACUUAAUCGAUUAAUUUGUUUUUUUUUCUGGGUCAUUCUAAAAUUCAACAACCUAGGUAGAUAAAGGUUGUUCAGAUGCAAAGUACGCUUGCUGUUUAAAGGGUCAAAGUUUGAGUCCUCGUCGGAGAAUUUUAGGUUUAGAACUAAAAGAUUAAAAUUUUGGUCUGAACAUUUUUUCAUCUUUUCUGGGUUUUUGUUUGGAGGUUAGAGCGGUGGAACGACUUUUUCUGUUCUGAAGAGAACAUGGGCGGUGGUUACUGGUGGCUGGAGUUGUCUUGGUGUCUAGACGGACAUGGCUCCUUUCAUCCAAACCCGAGUGAACUUAGAAGGCUCUGCUCUUUCGAACACGAAGACGUGAACUCCCUCUGCUCUUUAUCUUCAAAUGCUUUGAAAGCACUCUCUAGGAAUAAGGAUAUUGAAAAGUGAACUCCCCAAAACCAUUUAAAUGCUUCGAAAGGUACAAUUUUUGGAUAAUCUUCAAGUUCUAGCGACUCCACUGUGUUUGUAGUUGUAUUUUCUAUUGUAUCCACAAAUCAAACAUGUAUUUUUCCGUCCACGAGUAAAUGUACUUGUCCAUGGAACCUUGUCCACAAUACUUUUUUUUGGAUCGAACUCCUUGUACACAAAAAAAACUUCAUACAUAUAAAUUGUAGGUUUAGAAAAAGCUAAAAAAUAUAUGGAUUAAUAAAACUCUUUAAAUGUUUGAUAUGAACUCGUCCACAAAAAAAAAAUAUGAUACAUUAUUUUCAAAUUUUAGAUGAAAAUGAGUAUGUUCUUUCAAAAACCCGUCCACAAAAUUUUACCUUUCUCCUCCUAGCUGUAGCUCGUUCCAGUUUAAAAAAGCAGCGAAACCAUGAAUUUAUUAUUAAAAUCUACUUAUUUUACACACAAAAGCUCAUCACCCUUAGAUCUAUUGACAUCCAACGGCUCCCCAGGAAUCUAAUUUAUAUUAUGUUUGGUCCCCACAAACCAGUCAGAAUUAAAAAUUAAUAAAACUCUAAGGAUGGUUCGGUUCAGCCAGCGAGGGGCAGUAUAGUCCAUAAUGUGAUGUGUCAUGAGAGAAAGUGUCCCUCCAGCAAGUUGUAUCUGAAUGUGUUAAAAAAGAUAAAAAAAGUGUCCCAAACCGUUAUCAACUCUAGGGAUCGGCAGGCAACGGUGGAAAAAGGCCCGCGUUGGAAGCAUAGUUAUACUAAUUUAUAUCUAGACAAUGAUAUUACUUUAGACAAUGAUAUAACUUGGUAAAACUAUAAUUCUAGUUAUGCAAAGUUAUACUAUUAUCAAAGUAAAAUUUGGUAUAACUAAAUUUAUACUAAGUUAUAGCUGAUAUAAUUUAGUAUACUAAGCUUUAUCUCGAUGACUAAAGUCUAAAUUUUGAAAAUUUUAGUUGGAAGAAAAGGAGGAGGAAAACCAUAAGGAUAAUAUUAGAAUAUUAUUAUUUUAUUAAGAAUAUGAGAGUGUAUUGAUUUAAAAAGAAUAAAUGUGGUUAACUUUUUCUUAUUAAGAGCAUUUGAGAUUGCUAUCCACAUUUCAGUCAAUGUGUUUUUUUUUUGUAUGAGAGGUUGUUAUUAGAUAGCUAUUGCCAUUAGAAUAACAGUUAAAUUAAAUUAUGUGUAUCAUAGUUGCCGACAAAAGAAAAAGAAAAAAUCAAAAAAAACUAUUAAUAACUAAGGUUGUCGUAAGAGAAUCCGUACCACGUGUUUCACCGGCUUCGUGUUCCUUUUUAAGAUUUUCUUUCUGCCUGUUAUAAAGUCUGAUCUCUGAUAGAGAGAGAACCAACAGAAGCAAAUAAGAAAAGAAAACAGAGGAAAAAUGAGUAGCUCCGGUACGCAGCUUCACAAUGUUUUUGUCUACGGUAGCUUUCAGGAGCCUGACGUCACUUAUGUCAUGCUUGAACGUACUCCUGAAAGUAUCUCUGCCACACUCCCUGGCUUGUACUUUUCUCUCUCUCUCAGUUUCUCUCUUAAUACUCUCGAUGAUUACACUCUUGUAUAGAUGUGGUAUUUUGGAUUUUUGUCAGUACGAGGAAGAGGCUUAAAGGAUGUUUGUAUCCAUGUAUUGUGCCGUCUGAGGAAGGAGAAGUCCAUGGAAAGGUUUGAAUUUUUGAUCAUUUUGUGACAUCCAGCUGCUCUUUUUUCGUGGGUUUUACUUUUUGUGUGUUGUUUAGAUUAUUAGGGUUUAGAUUUUGAGAAUUUUUGGUGCAGGUAAUAAUGGGGUUAACGGAUGAAGAACUUAGGAACUUAGAUGCAGUUGAGGGUAAUGAAUUUGAGAGAGUGACAGUUGGUGUUGUACGAGAGGUGAGUCUUAAGAAUCUCAUCUUAACAAAAACAACGUUUAGAUGAGAUUGAUUCUAUCCUUUUUUGCAUGUACAGGACAACUCGGAGAAGAUGCCUGCCAAAACAUAUAUAUGGAUCAAUAAGAAUGAUCCUGAUCUUGAUGGAGAAUGGGAUUUCGAGGUUUAAUUCAUUUUCGUUAACUCAGCAUAGGUAAGGUAAUGUGGUUUGAUCGGGGUGUGUUUUGGAUUUUGGUUUUGAUAGGAAUGGAAAAGACUACACAAGAAGAAAUUCAUAGAGACUUUCAAAGAAAUCAUGGAAUGGAUGAAGGAUCCUCAGGGAAAGGGACGGGAUACAUUCAGCCAUGCCCUCCGCGAAGAUCAAGUGAAUCAAUCGUCUUGAAUAUAUUGUGUAUGUUGAGUAUGUCCUAUACAUCACCUUUGUUUCCAAAUUCCGAAUAAAACAAAAGGUACUGUGAAGAUCAGUGAAAAAAUAGUAAUGAUGACAUGGGGUAGUGUAAGAUUGAUCAUGGGGGUGUGGUAUUAUUCUGUUACACGUCUUUUAGAGAUUUUGGCAUAUAUAUGUAUGUGUUGUGUAUGGUCUCGUUGAUGCUAAUGCUUAUGGCUUCUAUAAUUACAUUUGAUAAGUAUACGGAUUAAGGAACCAAAGAAAGUAGUAGAUCACUGAACUAAUCAGAUAAAAUAGUCCACAAAAGUUUCGUAGCAUUGUCCACAACUGAUAGAUUUUAGGAGUCACGUGCAUUGAUUCCAUGGCAAUAUAAUCUUGACAAUCAUAAUUCCUUGAUAGUGACUAUCAUAAAUCCUACCAACUUAUAUUAGUAUAUAUUAAGUUUGAUAAGCUUUCAGUUAACCCGUAUUAUUUACUAUUAUUUAAGAUCGAUGUCAAACUUAUCUCUAACUCUUGGGAUAAUAUUUGGAAAAUGAUAGAUGAACAAAUAUUGGAUUAGUAGCUUGUUACUGGUCAAGAGAGCAGACGUAUUGGAUAAUAAUGUAAUUCUAUAGUCAAAGUCUCGAAUAGUUAGAUCUCUUGUUAUAGGGUUUGGGUCAUUCCUUUAUAGGUUCUCUUUAGUCGAAAAUAAGGUUAAACUUUUCCAUAUCAUCAAAUAUAAAAAAAUUCUUUUUAUUAAAAGUUUUCUAUUUUACCUAGAGACAGGAAUGAAUCCGGCUCUAAAGCCAGAAUUCGUUUAGACAGAAAUCAAAAAUCGGCAUUAAGCGCGGAACAAGGAGUAGUGACUCCCUAAAUUAGUUAUUCCCAAACUCUUUAUCUUUUUUCAUGGGUGGCAUCGAGAGAUAAUGCACUUUGGUUGACCACAGUCGUACUUUCUCAGCAUGUCAAUAAAUAGUAGGAGCAAAACGUCGCUUCUUUAGGUUUUUCAGGAUUAUUUUGGCCUAGACUAUGUAGGAACCCGAUAGUAGAUAUCUACCCAAGAGUAGUCAUGAGUAGUCAAAGGAUAUAUGUUUUUCCUUAGGUGAUUUAAGCUCCAAGCCAACAUAAGAUCGCGUGGUCGCAUUUCAAUGAUUAACGAGAUCCAUUUUUUGGCACAGGCCUUGGUGGCUUGUGGUCUGAGAGGCAUGUAUCCUUCUAGGCAUAUAACCUAAUAAUAUUCUGGAACGAAUGGCAGGAUCCGGCAAAGGAACUUUCGAUGUACUUCAGUGGUACUUUGUUUUUCCAAAUAUUGUAGAUGGAUCCUGGCCUGAACCCGGAAUUAAGUAGUAGGAUGCUACAAUGCACAUACAUUUUUGUCUGGCUGAUAAUGAUCGUAUAAAUCUGCCAAUGUCCUUCAAAGAUCCAAGCAGGGGAUUCCCAAGAAAUACACACACACACGAGGAAGACCAGAGAAAGUUAGUUUAGUGACCCGCUUAAAUAUAUCUGCUGAGGAAAGUUUAUCAUCUUUGCUCGAAAGCAGGGAUUUCUAGUUUGAAGGUCGGAGCAUGGAAUUUGUGCCUUCGGUAUUUUAGGAAUGUGUCUUCCUGCUUCGUGGUAACUUUGGCAUUUUGCUGAUUAUUUUUGCUCUGAUCCGCUUUCUUGGUUCUUUGCGUUGGUGCUUGAUAGCACUCAUUUGUGAACGAGGGAUUGCUUUGUCUUUAUAUUUCUACCAUUUCCUAACAUCUACUUAUUCUGGCCAAAAUAUUCUAUGGUAAGAUGAGGUAAGUUAGUCUACAUCCUUGAUUUUCUUUCAGCUCCGCACCUUUAUUGGGCUAAUGUUACUAUGGCAUUUUACAUUUUUCUGACCAAUAAAAUAGGUUAUCAAAUUUCAUAUGAUGAUCGUUAGUACAAGAAUAAUUAGAUAACUAAAAUUUUUAGACCAGUCCUACCUAUCAAAUUAGAUCAUGUUUAGUUCAGUGUGAAAUUAAAAGAGAAAAAGACAUGUACAAAAAUAAAUGCUCUUUUAACUACUUCUCGUUUUGAUACCCCAUUUUAUUGAUUUUCAAAUCUCAAAUACAUAAACCAACAAAAAGAGAUUAUGGUUCCUAUAUAUAUAUGUGUGUGUGUGUGUGUUUGUUACUAUUAUGACUGCACCGCCAUUUUUUUUUGCAUGUUGCCAUUUAGAUGUUAUAACCUGACCAAAAUUUUAUUCUGUGUUGAAACCUCCAUUUUGGUUUGCUACUUGUAAUGGAAAAAGAGAACAUUUUUCUUCACCAAACAAUUGGUCUCUUUCUCAAAUAUUUUUCCGCUACCUAUAGAAUUAUAGGUUUUUACAUUUCUAGUGGAUUUGAUGAUGACAAAGUCAAUUUGAAGACAUUAAUCAGAUAAAAAAAAAUAGAGACACAUCUAUUUAGAUAAUUUCCAGACUUUACUUUCUUUUGAGAAAAAUCGGUGAUCAUCUAGAUCUAUGCAAUGAUUACAGUUUCUAUCAAGUGCCUAAUCAACACAUUCAUCUCGAAGCUACAUCAUGUGGAAAUCUACGGACUUAAUCUGGAUAUCGAAACUCUAUCAUCUUAUUUUUCAUUUCUGCAUUUCUUCUUUAUUCCUCGUAGUCUGAACUCUAUAGCUGAUUCCAAUCAGCGGUAUGUAAUCCUCACUUUGCAAUGCCGUUUUAAGGCCUUAAUUAAGUAUUUGGUUGUUCAAAAAAAUAUAUACUAUUUUGCGGUUUUUUAAGCUGGCAUUUUAACCAUCUCCAAUGAUACAUGAAAAUGAUCAAAAAAUAAAAAUAUAUAAAAUUUCUUUGAUUGGUAUAUCAUUUUCAAAAAAAUUAAUAAGAACAUAAAAACAGUAGUGCAUCAACUAAAAACAAUAUUCACAAACUCAUUUACACUACACUAAUCCCUAAAAUUUUGGACAUUUUUAUGUUACAUAUAAAGGUUAAAGAAUUUGUUAAUACUUUAACCAAAAAAUUUAGUACUUCCAUUUAAAACUUAAUAUUGACACAAGUUGUUCCGCUAAAUCCUUAAAAUUGAUUUUCUUUUCAAAACCGCAAAUGUGAGUUUUUCCAAAACCGCACAUAUGAGUUUUUCCUCAAAAUGUGUUUCCCGUCAAAACCGCAAAAGUGAGUUUUCCUGCAAAAUCACAAAAAUAAGUUUUCUGCAGUAAUCACUUCAGAUUAUAAACUAGAAAUAUUUUAAUCAAAAACCAUUUACUUUGAUUUAUGUUAAUAUAUGAAAUAAUAUUUUUUGCCAGAGAUUAUAUAACAUGUAUUCACAUUAUUAAAAAAAAAAAGAUAAAGGUGUAUUCUAAAUUUGUUGGCAGAUUCUGGAAGGAACUCUACCCACAUGUUUCUUCUCAGAUACGCGUUUCAAAUUUCUAUUCAUUCCAUAUGGCGAGAAAGGAAUGGGAGAAAACACGGAGAGGCACACCAAACUUCAGUUACUUUGCUGAAAGGGAUUGAUAAAGGUGUGCGUAACCGCAUAUCUUCUCUGCGUAUGGGUGGGGAUCGACGAUUUCAGAAAGCCCUAAUGGCUUGGUUCGCCACAAGAAGUUAGCAAGAGAUUAAGUUUUGAUCUUCAAUAUUUUUUUCUUAUUGCAAAAAUAAAACAAUGUUACACCUGAUGUAAAAAGGUUUUUUUGAUUUGAAUAAAUUUAACAUUCUUUCAAAAAAAAAAAGAUAAAGGGUCUAAAGAAGGUUGAAAAGGGUUCAACCCUAUUUUACUUUUUUUAUGGGUUCUAAAAGGGUUAGGGUACAUUUAUGGUUGAGCUUAAGUUUAAAUAGGGCUUGGCUGGGUUGGAUAAACCCUAUAUAAUAUCCCUAGACACAACCAUUGGAGAUGUCCAUAGAGAAACUCUGCCAUCUUGAGUUCUCGACUUUUGUGUAAUACCGAUUCAUUGAAAUCAUAGUAGACAUAAUCUUAAGCAAAAGUUUUUCACAAAUAAAGAAAGUAAACCAAAGUUACAUUGUCCAAGAUUAGGUUACUUCUAAAGGCCGAAGGCUACAAAAAGCAAAGCAAGUCUUAGUUUUUUUUCUUUCUUUUUGGUCUCCAAGAAACAAAAACUAAAGUAACAUUAAAAAGGUAAUUAAAAACUAACACAUAUCAGCGAUGUCCUACACUAGCUAAGUGGUAAUGGUACAACUUAAGUGUUAGGAGGGGAAUACGUCGCCGACAUCUCACUAGCGGUCGUCUCAAAACCAGUCUCGACCAUUGAUCUUACAUUCGGAAGCUCGUGAGUCAAUCCUCCGGCCAAGUUGUGAAAGUAGUUAUCCUCAUUGUUGCUAGGAAACAGAACAUUCUCUGUUUCACUGUUUCUCAGAAACAUAGCAUCCCCUGUUCCGUUGUUUCUAGCUAUGUUGUACGGAACUCCGAGCAUCUGAGAAGCAAAAUAAGCAGCAGCCGACUCUGUGAAGCUUGCGGGUUCGUCUACUGGAGAAGAGCUAAGGUUUUGUCUUGUUGGUAUGUUGCUGAAAACGUCUGUUGAAGCAAAAAGAGUUGUGGUUUGUGACACUGAGUUGUAUUGGCUGGUUUCAGGUAUUGCCGGAUGAAGCCAUGAUUGUGGGACUGAUCUUUGUGAUGAUACUGAGUUCGUCUUCUUAAAUAUUCUGCAAAUAGCCCAAGCAUCCUACCAAAAAAAAAAAAACACAAACACAAACGAAAGGUUAUUUCUCCCGCGUGUAAAGCAAGUUAGGGAAAGUGUGGUUACUUACGCUUGAAGGAAUCUCUUUAUUGUUGAUGUUAUGGUGUUGCUUCUUGUUAUUGUAACUGGGAUACGACGAUGAGCGAUGAGAGUCAGAGAGAGAAGGGAGGCGAAAUUCGUGCAUCAUCCAAUCGGUUUUGAUUCCUUUAGCAGCUCGACCACGGUAGAACACAAGCGACUUCUUCAAACCGAUGCAUCGAGUGGAGUCCAAUGAGUAUAUUGGCCGGUCAGUUCCGGUUGCUUUCCAGAAUCCACCUCCAGUUACACGGUUAGGCCUCGUGCUGUUUCGAUAUUUCCUGUCUCUUGGACAGUAAAAGUACCACUCUUUCUCCCCCAUCGCUGCAAGCUCUUUUUAAACAUUGAUUCAAGAAAAUGCACUCAAGGCUUUAGUUUCCAUAAGUUUGGAGAAAAGUUAGAAAUAAGAGUUCAGUGUGGCGUACUUGGGAGGUCCCACGGAUCGUAUUUAUAGAUAUCGACUUUUUUGAUGAGUUCAAAGGGAAGAGAUCUGUGUAGAACCUUCCGUUUCAGGUAGAAACUUACGAGUUCUUCGUCUGUGGGAUGAAACCUAAACCCUGGCAAAACGACGUCAUCGAAUCUUUCUACGUUGUUGCUUUCUUCAUCAUCCAUAAUUUAGUACUAUUGUGAUUAUGAAAUAAAUCUACCAAAAGAGAAUGAAGAGAGUAAGAGAGAUUUAUAGAAAUUGUGUGUGAGAGAGCCUUGGAGCAUGAAGAGAAGAAGACAGAAGUUGCUUAGAUAUCAAGAAAUGUGUUCAUGGGGAAAUGAUAAUUGGACCAGAAAGUUAUGCAUAGCUAUAAGACCAAUGUCUCUAGGAGAAGUGGAGAGUUUUGCAAGAAAGAUAUGAUCUUUAUUUUCUUCGUCAUUUUAUAUAUUUUCUUAAAAUUUCGGGCGUGACGCAAAUGAAAAGUGUACAUUAAUAUUAAAUUAUAAAAGGUUAUGGAAAAACAUUUUCCUUUACGACAAUUUUUAUGUACGUAUAUUCGACCGACUUUUCGUAACUACUGAUUGGCCUCGUUAUCGUUUCUUGCUGAAGUGUAUUGCUGCUCUGUGUUCGGAAUUUCCUGUAGUCAUUAAUUUGCCAAACAAUCAUCAAAAUCCAAUAUCGUUUCUCGAAAGUUUGGUGUCUUCUGCGAUGGCAGGUUCUAGUUUUAUCUUGCGUUAGGAAGAUUUGCUUCAUGACAGGAUUCGCAAUGAAGCAUCGAUCAAUGGUUGACUCAUUGAUCUUUUCGUUAGGACUGAAUCAGGGCUGAGGCGUUGCUGUUUUGGUGUUGUGCUUUGUAUCAAUUUUUGUAGCCAUCUUAGAGCAACAUUAUUGGAGGUUUCUUGAUCUUAGGUUCUUAAAAUACAUGUAUGUGUAUGUAUAUAUUAUAUAUACGUAUGUAAUUGCAGGGUUCUAAGCUUUACGGGAAACUCAAUCGAAAGUUUUUAAAUAAGAAACUUUCGGUUGAGUUUCCCGUAAAGCUUAGAACCCCGCAAUACGCAUAUAUAAUAUAUAUAUACACAUACAUGUAUUUUAAGAACCUAAGAUCAAAAAACCUCCAAUAAUAUUGCUCUUAAUGAGAAGCUAUCCCAUUGCCCUCAUAACUCUCAUUCUAUUUUGAUAGCCAUUCGUUUACCUCCUGAAUUUAUUCUUAAUUUAUGAAAUAUCUCUUGAAAUAUCAUAAUAUUGUAUGUGAUCUGUCUACCCGCAACAAAAGCUGACUAAGUUUCCGAUAUAUGUUCCGGUAAGAUUUUAUUUAGUCUUUGACACAAUACCUUGGAGACGAUCUUAUAGCUCACGUUUCAUAUCUCUAAAUUAAAAUGCCAAAACUGGGCUAUCUCAGUUGGCUUAUCUUUCUUUGAAAUGAAAUAAAUGUUUGUGUCAUUCAAUCAUCGAGGAAUGAUGUUAUCGAAAAAGAAUUCAGUAACCAUACGGGUUAAACUCUUUUUCCUAUAUCUCAAAAAUUUUGGUAAAAUAAUCUUGUUAUCCCGUCUGGUCCUAGAGCUUUUUCUAGAUCGCAAAUAGGACUAAUUUACACCACCUUCUAGAACUGAGGCUGUGAGGUCUUGAUUUAUCGAAGCUGUGAGGUCUUGAUUUAUCGAAUUCUCGUUAGUAAGCAAGUAAUCAACAAUUUAAACGUAGAAAUAUUUUAAAAUUCAGUUAAACAACUUCCAAGUUAAGCCUAAAUCAAAUUAGGCAUCGGUUAAAUCGAAUACAUUACUUAAGCUUGCUAUGUGUGUCUCCAAGUUUGAGACAUGUAAAAACAUAAUGUAGAAAUGAAGAUCUCGUGGUAAUUUAUUUUUAAAGAAAAAUAAACAAACAACGUUCAAGAUGAGAUAAAUCCAAAAAAGCAUGGGUUUAUUAACCCACGCAACACAAGUUCAGAAGUUUGGUCAAUUGCUUUCAACCUAAGUUUUCUCUUUCUCUUUAUAUGUGAAAGUCCAUUAAUUUCAGCAACCCAUAUUUUAAAAACUUUAUUUACUAAUACUGUGAUUAUCAAAGUACAUGCAUAUAUAUAGUAGUACUAGCACAUGCAUGUUAAAUAAAAAAAUCCAUAGGUAGUAAAUAUUAAAUAUAAUGGUUUAGGUUUGUGCUCAAAAAAACAAAACAAAAAAGAAAGUUGACGUACUAAACAAGUGUUCAGUCUUGGGCAAGUUGUGAAAUUUUUUUCUUUUUCUUUUUCUUUUUCCUUUAGAAAGUUACGUGUUAAUAAAAAAAAAGUUACGUGUUAAUAAACUCUCUAGUUUGCGACAAAUGUUCUCUGACGGAAAAUAUAUGAAACUAAGUCCAAAAUUCCUUGAAUGAUUUAUUAACGUGAAUUAUUGUCAAAUAUGAAUGUAACAGGAUGUUAGAUAUAUGUAGGUGAAAUUAUUUACACCUUCGACCAUAUUUUGUAGCAAUGGCUAACAUCACUACGACUAUAUAUCACAGAUUCGAUUAAUCAGGAUUUCACAGCUCCAAUAAAAUAAUGGGAAGUAAAACUUUGUUUCCAUAUGGUUAAUGAAUUUCUAUUUGAUGGUGUCAAUAUUGUUUAAGGAUUGAAUGAUACAAACAUUUGUCUCAUUUCGAAGAAAGAUAAGGUCGUUAUAGUGGCCCGUUUCGAACUAUCUGUGCAAUUUGAGUUAUAAAAUUGUUUCCAAUUUUUUAAUGCCAGACACUGAAAUAGUCUUAGAUGCGCUUAUCUUUGAAAUUCAAUCAGCUUUUGUUACUGGUAAAUAGAUCACAUAUAAUAAUAUGAUCGUUUAGAAGAUGUUUCAUGCACUAAAAGCUAAUCAAUGUGGGAGAAAUAAGGGGAUGGCUAUUAAAACAGAUAUACACAAAACAUAUGAUCAUAUGUCAUAGAAACUUAUUAGAUAUGUUAUGAAGCAUAUGGGUUUUUCAGAAACGUGGAUCGAGUGGAUAAUGCUAUUUGUUACAUCUGUGUAAGUAUUGAAUCCUCAUGAACGUCCAGCCCAAUGGGAAUAUUGUCCCAUAGAGAGACAUAUGUUAUGGAGAUUCUUUGUCUCGUUUCAUCUUUAUUCUAUUUACAGAAGCGAUUGUUAGCCUUUUAAAUCAUGUGGAGAGUCAAAGUAAGAUAUCGGGGAUGUGGGUAGCACAUACUAGCCCUCCGGUGUCAUACUUAAUAUAUAUUCGCUGAUGAUAGCCUUUUUGUAAGACAGAUUCAUGUGCUUGUGGUGAAGUUAUGAAAACAGUUUUGUUAUAUGGGAAAGCAUCAAGACCUAGUAUUUAUUUUGAAUCGUCUUUGAAAGGCCUCUAUAUCCUUCGGUUCUGUUUAGAUAGCUGGUCACGCUUUAGAUUCUUAACGCUAGUUAUUUAUCUAAUUAAAUUUUAACAUUAAAAAAUUGCACAGGAAAAACAAGGACAUUUAUAGAGCUGGUUUGUCUCUGUUUGUUCAGAGUCACUAUAAUAAGAAACGUCUAUCACUUUUUUUUUUUUGGUAAAAGUUUAAAUAAAUCUGUCUCACACAAAAAAAAAAAAAUCUCUCAUCAUAUUUCAUAUAAAAAAGUCUCUGAAGCUCUUAGGAGAUCACCAAUAAAAGUGCUCAAUUAGUGGUAUGUGUAUUUAGAUUCAUCUCAGAUAUAAGUUAGAGAUCUCUUUAAAAAAAAAUAGACGCAUCGGUGUGAGAUUGGUAUGAUCAUAAGAGCAAAGGAAUUGUCACGUGAGAAGCUAACGAGCUGUCCACCUGCAAGUGAGAAGAGAAGAAACGGUUACACUAAGAAAGUAUAAAUAGAUGAAAUUGUAAUUGGGAGAGGAGUUGGUUAGUAGGAGCCUUGUGGCUUGGGAUUGUUUCUCCUAAGAGAUUCAAGAUAGAUUUCUCUGUAAUUCCGUUGUAACCUCUGUUUUUGGUAGAAAUAUACUUGAGUUCUAUCAAAUUGGUGCGGUGAGCGUGAAUCAAACACGAUCAUGAAUAAGUAGUACGCUUGAAGAAACAUUCAUAGUGUUCCCCUGACGAACAAAAACCAAAUCUCAUAUAUUUUUUCAACAAUCUAAAGAAAGAAAAAAUAGAGCAUGAAACUGAAACUGUGAUAGAAGAAAAUUGGGGGGAAAAUGGAAAUUAGCAAGGUUAUAUAGUUCAUAUUUACAGAAAACGAUAUUAAACUAGGGAAAAAAUGGAGAUUAUCAAAAAUAAAAAGGUUAUAUAGUUAUACUUACAUAAGAUGCUCGCGGAUGUCUUUCGCUUGGGGAAGAUAUGUCUCUUGAAUACAAAAAGCUAUUUUUUAAGAUAUGUGAAUAUCGACUUUUCACUUCUCUUUUCAGUAUUUGUAUAGAGUAGGUUUAAUAAUUAUAUCAAGAUAUACGUAUCGACAUCUUCUUAUUUCUGACAGCAAAUCUAUCAUAGGAUUACAUAGGAUUAUAGGGAGAAUAGGGGUGUUAAAGUGCAUAGAGGUCUAAACAGGGAACGGGUAUUUAGCUCUUUUUUUUUGGUCAAAGGAACGGGUAUUUAGCUAAUUUCGGCUUCUUUCGUGUAUAUCCCACCUAAUUUCUCUAUAUAAAAGUGUUUUUUUGUGCUCAUGCAGGGACAUAUAUUUUUACAAAAUAAAUAUAUUAAAAAAUUAUUAGUAUCUAAUUUAAAUUUUAAUUAUUUUAUGAAUAAUAUUAUAUUAUUUUAAUUAGAUAUGUAAUUUGAAUAUAUAAUAUCUAGUUGAAUUGGUUAUUACUUGAAUAUAUUGAAUUGUAUUUAUUUCUCUAAAUUUAACCGUAAUAUUUUUUGUGCUGAAAUAGAUUUAAAUUUUAUUAGUUUUUUUUGCAUUUAGACUUUUGAUUUAGCCAUAAAAACUUAGAUUGUUUAAGUUGCUCAUUUUGCGGGUUAUACUGAGUUACACAUAUUUUUUUUUAAAUCAAAGCACUAUUACUUUUAAUUCUAGUUAGAACUAAGUUUUAUUAGUUUUAUUUCCUUAAUUUAGUUCAUUUGAAAUAUGUAUAUAUCCAUAUUUCAUGUGUACUUCCCAUUAGGUGAAAUGUCAUACAUCUUUAUCUUUUGUCUUUGUCCAGCUCAAUGGUAUGCUUUCUAUAAUCUUCACAUCAUUGGGAUCCACAAAAAAAAACCUGAAUUGCUUGUAAAUUCAAUGUUUGCGAAGUUACAUUGAUAAAAAAAAAUUCACUGUAAGAUCAGGGUAAAGGUUGUGUUAAUUUCUAUUUGAUGGUCUUGGGCGAUUGGUUGGAAGCAAAAGAUUAUUCCAUACUGAAAUAGAUGAUCUUGAUCCAAACUUUUUGAUUAGUCUUUAGCUAACCAGAGAUCUAGCAAAGACGAUACUGCGCCAGCCAUAUGACGGUGAAUAUGAUCUAAUUGGUUUCCGGGGGAGGCGUUCCUGGAGUACUGUCCUUUGAAUACGCGAGGAAAUAAUGCAGUUGAUUUCUCUAUCAAGCGCCAAAAUUGCUUUCCAAUUAUGGUCGUGUUUAAAUUUGUAAGAUCUUUAAACCACAUGUUUCCUUCAUCCUUGGGAUUGCAUAAUUUUUCCCAUGAUUUCCAGUCAUGCCUUUUGUAUUUUCCUCUAAACUCAACCAAAAUUGUGCCACUGCACUCGUCAAUUUAUUUGUUACGACCUUUGGUAGACGAAAACAAGACAUUAUGUGAUUUGGUAAAGCAGUAAAUACUGAUUUUAGAAUCAAUUUCUUUCCCCAUUUGGUGAAUAAUUGAAAAGUUCAUCCAUUAGCCAGAUUAUUUAAACGGUCUUGGAUAAAACCAAAAACUUGUGUCUUUGAUCCUCCAAAUUUUUUAUGGCAUUCCCAAAUAUGAACCAUCCCAUCUAUGUUCUAAAUCCCUAAAAUAUCCCCAAGCUUCUGCCGAAUGGAUUCCUCAAUCUUCUGUCCAAAUUGAAUAGAAAUUUUUUGGAAAUUUAUCAUUUGGCCCGAUAUUUCCUCAUACUCUUAUAAAAUCCUGAUAAUAGUUUGACACUCCUAUUUUUGUGUCUUACCAAAAAAAGACUAUCAUCUGCAAAUAGCAAUCGAAGGGCAUACCCUUGCAACCUUUAUUCAUGUUAGUUGUUUCUCUCCCUCAACAUUUUUAAUGUUCGCAAUUGGGGACGCUUAUAUGUUUUUAUGGUCAUAAACUUGUUCUUGCAUAACUUAUUAGUCAUUAAACCAUUAAAAAUCUAUUGUGAUAUAAGGAUUUUGUCUGAAAUCAACCUUCCAGGUACAAAACCAAACCCGAUUGUGUUUCCGAAAUAAGUGUGGGUAGGCAGGUCUUAAAUCUCUGGCAUAACACCUUAGAAAUGAUCUUAUAUUUUACAUUGCAUAGACUAAUCGGCCGUAGCUCCGUCAUCCUUGUAGGCCUCUCCAUUUCAGGAAUGAGAAAAAUAUUUGUAAUGUUUAAAUUAUUGACCAUACCAUGCAGGCAGUGUUUUGAAACCCGACCCAGACCCGCGGUUGAACCGGUAAACCCGGUGACCCAGAAAAAAUCCAGUUUGAAUUUUGUGAAAAAUCCAAUAUUUAGAAACCCGCAAAAGCCCAGUAAAACCCGAAACCCGAUACCGUAUUAUGUUUUUAGAUUAUGUUUUAUAUUCUAAAUUUCCAAUUAAGGUAUUAGGUGCUGACAAAAAAAAAAGAGGUUAGGUUUUUCCUUUUUAGUUUCAUAUUUGUGAUUUUUAGAUUUUGAUGAAGAUUUCACUAUGCCACCUGAAAAAAAUGAAGAGAACGAUGGUAGAGAGAACCAAAAUUAGUUGAUGUAAUUUGGUGUUAGUUUAUUUCCGUUAUUGACAAUUUAGUAUAAUGAUCUUUUACUUUUGGUUUAUUUUGUAUUUGAAGUUUAAUUUAUUAUUCACAUUAGAUAUUUAAAUAUUUAUAAAUUUUAUGUCUUGAUAUUUUUAGAUGUCAUAACUCUUACCUUGUAAGAGAAAAUCUUAAAUAGUCUAAACUAUUUUUUGAUAUUUUGUAUGUCAAAUGAAAAUAAAAAUAUAAAAACUAAAGUUAAGUAUUUUCUAAAUGUUUUUAAACAUAAAAUAUAUACAUAUCCAAACUAUUAUCUUAUGUUUUAAAAAAAUUAGAAAUACUUUAGUUUCUAUAUUUUUAUUUACAUAUCUGAUAUAUUAUUAUAUAAUAAAAUUAAUUCAUUUAUUAACCCGUGGUUUAUCCGCGGUCGAUCCAGUGAUCCAACAACCCGGUAUGUCGUCCGAUUCAGUGUCCGGAUCGGGUUUAAAAACAUUGCAUGCAGGUCAUUCUUUAUAAUAGGCCAAGAGUGCUGGAAGAAAAGUGAUGUCAUGCCAUUCAAUCCAGGGGCUUUAUCUGGGUGCAUUAUAAACAGAGCUUGUCUUACCUCUUUCCUCCGUUGCUAUCCUGAUCAACCGCUGACUCAUCUGAUAAGUGAUGCUUGGUGUGAUCCCUUCCAAAAAACUUUUAAAGUAUGAGGGAGAAGUGGUACUGAAUAGAUUAUCAAAAUAGUGCACUGCAACCUUUUGUACUUCUUUUUCCCCUGUUAUCUAAUGUUUGUCUGCGUCGUGUAAACUGACAAUCCUAUUGCGAGUACGAUGUUGUUUCCUUAAAGCAUGAUAAAAGUUGGUGUAUAGAUUCCAUGAUGUAUGCCACAUAGUCCUACUCUUCUAUUGCCAUUACUCCUCCUCAUCAUUGUACAGUUUCUGUAGUUUCUUAGAGACAUCCAUUAUUUUCUCCUGAUUUCUACUGUUAUCUGUUUGUACUUCUUCCAAAGCUUGUUUAAGCUUGCUAAUUUUCUCUUUUCCCAUAUGGUGGAUUAUUCUUAUGCCAUCUAGCAAUUUCAUGAUGAAAAUUACAAAUUUUUGUAACAAAAUCCUUUGAACUACCUUCCUCUGAAUCUACCCAGGCUCUACCAAUGGAUUUCAUUAAACCAUCUUGUCGAAUACAUCUUUUAUCUAAUGAAAAUUAACCCUAUCGCCUGGGUACUUUAUCCUCAAGAUAAGCCAUUACUGGCCGAUGAUCAGAUCCUAUCAAUCCUAAAUAUUAUGGAAAUCUAUUUUAUCAUUAGAGAGAAUUUCAUGUUUACCACAUUGUUUGUACUAUUAUUCAUGUUUACCUUCAUUAAAUGAACAUUUUUACAAAUAUCUCAUCCAUUAAAGAGGCAAAACACUUUUAUACCCAUUGCUUUAUUAAUUUCUAAAUAUAUAAUUAUUUAAAUAAAUAAUAUUAAAAAUAAUAAAAAUGAAAUUAUAAUAAUUUUUAUAUUUUUUAAAUUUGAACUUUUUAUACUUUUCGAUAAUGUUUUCAAUUUUUUUCUAUGGUGAUGAUUGUUUCAAUAGUUUUUAGUUUUAGUUUUUGGUUUUUAGAUUUUAGUUUUUGGUUUUUAGAUUUUGGUUUUUGGUUUUCAGUUUUUGGUUUUUAGUUUUUAGUUUUUGGUUUUUAGAUUUUGAUUUUGGUUUUUUGUUUUGCAGUAUUUUUUUUAUUUUCAAAAAUUAAUUAAUAGAUUACUUUAAAAUAAUACAACAAAAUAGCCAUAAAUAUUUAGAUUUUACAAUUAAAACUUAUCAAAAUACUGUGAUUAUUAUUUUAAAAUAAAAUACAAUAACAUAUUUUAAUUAUUAUAUUUUUAUGAAAAUAUAUUAUAUAAAAUAUAAAUUAUAAAAUAUAUAUAAAUUACACAAAAUUAAAAAAAAAAAUUAAAUUUUGAAACUACUUAGAAAAUUUUCUUAUAUAAAAUAUUUAAAUUUAAAAACUUGAAUAAAUAGUUUUUCUUAUAUAAAUAUUAUAAAUUAUACAAAAAUAAAAGCACAUAAAAUUAUGAAAUUAAUUAAAAAUAACAAAUAUUAUAAAAACAUAAUAUGUUUUAUUCAUACAAUAUAUUGUAUAAUCCUGAAAUAUAAAAAAUGCCAUUCAACUUUAAGAAAAUAUAAAUAAUUUAUAUAAGAAAAUUUAUAAUUAAUUUCAUAAUUUUAUGUGUUUUUAUUUUUGUAUAAUUUAUAAUAUUUAUAUAAGAAAAACUAUUUAUUCAAGUUUUUAAAAUUAAAAUAUUUUAUAUAAGAUAAUUUUCUAAGUAGUUUCAAAUUUUUUUUUUUUUAAUUUUGUGUAAUUUAUAUAUAUUUUAUCAUUUAUAUUUUUUAUAAUAUAUUUUCAUAAAAAUAUAAUAAUUAAAAUAUGUUAUUGUAUUUUAUUUUAAAAUAAUAAUCACAGUAUUUUGAUAAGUUUUAAUUGUAAAAUCUAAAUAUUUAUGGCUAUUUUGUUGUAUUAUUUUAAAGUAAUCUAUUAAUUAAUUUUUGAAAAUAAAAAAAAUACUGCAAAACGAAAAACCAAAAUCAAAAUCUAAAAACCAAAAACUAAAAACCAAAAACUGAAAACCAAAAUCUAAAAACCAAAAACUAAAAUCUAAAAACCAAAAACUAAAACUAAAAACUAUUGAAACAAUCAUCACCUAAAACUAAAGCAAAAACUACAAACAAUCAAGCUCUAAUUUUCUUUUUGAAAUUAUUUAAAAAAAAUUCUAAAAUUUUUAAAUAUUUAUUAAUAUCCUAAACCUCACCUUCCAAACCCUCACCCCUCAACUAUAAACCAUAAGUCUAGAUUAGUUAAUCCUAAAGUUAUAAAUGUAUGUUUACCUCUUUAAAAUUGAAAGUAAAUAUGGUUAAAGUAAACAUGAAAAAUGGUAUUAGAAAUGUGGUUGUUUAGAAAAUUUCCUAAGAAUUAACAUAUUAUUUAGGAAAAUAUAAAUCAUAAAUAAAACAAGGUAUUUUCCAAAUUAUCUCUUUUAUCAAUGAUACCAAUUUCAUAAAUAACUAAACUGCUCAAAAGAUUGGGGGACACGUGGCGUCUAUAUCAAAAUUUCUCAAACGAUAAAUCUUUCUCUCCGAAAAAGCAGGUGGAAUACGUAAUACCAACUAUUUUAUCUCCGUAUAAAUUAAAAGAACAAAAGUUACAAACUUGUUUCCUUUUUAAGUGGGAUUUUCCUCUUCUUAUUUAAAUCGACUUUACUUGUUACCAUGUGAAUAAAAGUUCACUUGUUUCCUUUUCUAUUAAUAAUAAUGAAUUGACAUAUUAUUUUAAAUAAAAAGAGGAUAUCUCAACAGUUAUAUAUAGAGAAUAUAUCCAGAACGACUUUAGGGUUUUGAUUCUCUCUUGGCAUAUCUCUCGGCCACAAAAGCUCAGCCGUUGCACUUUAAUUUCUGCAUGAUGGCCAGGACGAUUGACUUUGCGCAAGGAUGGAGAAUUAUGCAGAUUGGUAUCACUAAGCUGGAAAAGCAUGUGGAAGGACUUCCUGGGAACUCAAUUAAUAGUGAGCAAUAUAUAAAACUUUACACGACUGUCUACGUUAUGUGCACCCAGAAACCUCCUCAUGAUCACACAGAGAAGCUUUAUAACAAGUACUGUGAAGUACUUGAGGAAUAUACUAAGUCGACAGCUUUGCCUUCUCUAAGGAAGACCUAUGACGAUGAAUAUAUGCUGCUGCGAGUACUUCUUGAAAGAUGGUCUAUCCAUAAAAAGAUGGUUAGACGCCUAUCCAGGAUCUUCCACUAUCUUGACCGUUACUUCGUUUAUCGCAAUUCACUCCUAUCUCUGGAAGAAGUUGGAUUAGCAUGCUUCGUUGACAUGGUUUAUAACACGUUGCAACGCAGGGUCAGAGAAGCUGUGAUAGCUAUAGUUGAUAAAGAACGAGAAGGUGAUGAUACUGAUAUUGAUAGGGCGUUACUUGAAAACAUUAAAGACAUUUAUGUAGAGAUUGGAAUGGGUAAUAUGAAAAGAUACGAACAAGAUUUGGAGAGCUUCAUGCUUGAAGGUACAGCGUCUUACUAUUCUCGCAAGGCAUCAAGAUGGAUUCAAGAAUAUUCUUACUUUGAUUACAUUCGGAAGUCUGAAGAAUGUGUAAAGAAGGAGAAGAAGAGAAUGUCUCACUACCUUUACGCAAGCAGUGAGCCAGAGCUGGUUAAGAAAGUAGAGCAUGAGUUGUUUGUAGUGUAUGCAAACAAGCUUCUUGAGAAAAAGCACUCAGAGUUCAGGGAAAUUGCGGGAGGCUUGGAACCUAUAACAAACAUGUUCAAGCAGCAUGUUGAAGACACAGAUGGUCAAGACACGGCUGCAAUCAGAAAAGUGAUUGAGGUACAUGAUAAGUACAUAGUCUAUGUCACAAAGUGUCUCGAGAAUCAAACCAUCUUUCACAAGUCCUUGAAAGAGGCAUUUAAGUUUUUCUGUAGCAAAGCAGUGUCUGGAAGCUCUUUAAGUGCUGAAUCACUGGCAACAAUUUGUGACAGAAUUAUAAUUCUCAAGAAAUGGGCAAGUGAGGAGCUGAGUGAUGAAGCUAUUGAGAAGGUGGUCAAGUUUCUUGCGUAUAUAAGUGACGACAAGGAUCUUUUUGCAGAGUUUUACAAGAAGAAGCUGGCACGUAGGCUGCUAUUGAAUCGUGAUGCUAGUUAUGAUCAUGAGAGAAGGAUCAUUACAAAGCUCAAACAACAGUUUGGUGGGAAUUUUACUUAUAAGAUGGAGGGAAUGGUGACAGAUUUGACAUUGUCAAGACAAUACCAAAACAGCUUCGAUGAGUAUGUAGCCAGUAACCCUGCUGCAAAACCAGGGAUUGAUUUUAACGUCACUCUUCUUACAACUAGUGUUUGGCCAAGUUACAAAACGUUUGACGUGAAUCUACCUAGUGAAAUGGUCAAGUGUGUUGAAAUUUUCAAAGUGUUUUAUGAAGCCAAACACAAACGUAGGAAACUUACUUGGCUCCACUCACUAGACACUUGUCACAUCAACGGAAAGUUCGAUCAAAAGCCCAUUGAUUUGAUCGUGUCGACUCACCAGGCUGCUGUGCUUCUGCUUUUUAACACAAGGGACCAACUGAACUACACUGACAUCCAAACUCAACUGAACCUAAGCCAUGAAGAUCUUGUGUGGGUGCUUCAUUCCUUGUCAUGUGCUAAAUACAAGAUUCUUAUCAAGGAGCCAGCCACAGAGACUGUCUCCAAGAAUGAUGUUUUUGAAGUCAACUCCAAAUUUACAUCUAGAAUGGGCAGAGUAAAGAUUCCUCUCUCUCAUGUUGAUGAACGGAAGAAAGUUGUUGAAUAUGUUAAUAACGACAGGCGCUAUGCAAUUGAAGCUUCUAUUGUCAGGAUCAUGAAGGGCAAGAAAGUAUUGGGACAUGAACAACUUGUUUCUCAGUGUGUCAAGCAACUUAGUGGGAUGUUCAAGCCUGAUGUUAAAGCGAUUAAAACACGUAUAGAGGAAUUAAUAGCGAGAGAUUAUUUGGAGAGGGACAAGAUGAAUCCUAAUAUGUUUAGGUACUUGGCUUAGGGAACAAAGCAUAUAUCUGGUAGUGUUAUCGUCUUGUUGUUUGCUUAAUUUUGCUUUCCUGUUUUUUUUUUUGUUUUAAACACGGUCAUGUUUUAUUCUUGGGAUGCAAUUGACCUUAUGGCGGUUUGUUUCUUGGAUAUGAUGGGAACUGGAGCUGGUUCUAAUAAAAAGUAGAUUUUUUUUCUGAGUCUUCAUUAGCUUUAAAAACUGUGUUCUAUGAUUCUUAAUCCUUUUGUUAAUAGAGUCACAACUGUAUGAUUUGGGUUCAGAAACUACAAUAAGCUACUUAUGGAGAUCUGAGUUUUUAUAGUAUUAUAAUAGAAUGAUACUAAAGCCCUUAAUUAAUAUACCAGAUAGAUUCACCUAUAUGUCCAAUAAGCGAGACCAUUCAUUCACGCUUACAUGGAGAUAGCAUCAAAGGGUGAAAUUCGCCAUGAUCAGGACAAUAUAUGAAACAGGACCCAAGAUGCCCCUGAAAGCUGCUUCGAUUCUCUCCAUGAGACGACUCCACAUUGCAUCUGAGUUGCUUAACAAUUUUUGUCCUUUUCUGUUGAUCUUCUUUGGGCAAGAGCCCAAUGCUUCGUUUUCAUUAAAUUUGUCACUUUCCUUAAAUUUGUUUGAUGGAAAAGCUUCGUUUCAUUAAAAAAAUGAUUUUAAGGAUAGGUCAAGCAAUAAAACUCGACAUGCCGUAGCGGGAGAGAGAGUGAGGCGACAAUAAAGGCGACUAGGGUUUCGUAGCUACUGUCUCCGCCGUCGGUGUGGCCUCACGUCCACCAACAAGAAUCUUCUUCUUCCUUCCUCCUCUUCCUUUCUGUCAUGGCUAUGUUGGUGAUUGCUCGGUUUUCAUCCUCGACGAUUCCGGUUCCAGAUCCAGAUCCGUUCUCUCAGAUCUCUACUUGUUGUGGCUCCACCUCCAGAACCGCCUGACCCAUCAGAUUUGUUCCUUUUUCUAUGUCCACUUUACAUCCUUGAAGCUUCAGCCUCCCCUCGAAAAUCUUGUUCUAGCUUAGACAGUUCAGUUCUUGUGUCUUCUGGAGUGCAGCAAUCUACUGCUUUGUUCAGUUCUCAAUCAUGUCCUAUUCUCGUGAAGAACCCAUGGUUACUUCUUUCUGGACCCUUCGCUCCUUGCAUCAAGCGUCCACAAGGUUUUAAUUAUCUCAAUACGAGUCUCCUUUUACCCUGGAACUAGGUGUGGGCUCGCACCUUGUGUGAGCUAAUAUAUAUUCUUAAUAUUUUUACUAUUAUAUUUAUUUUAUGCUAAUGUAUUUAAUUAGAUAUAAAUAUAUUUAUUGUGUGUUUUCGGUCUUUAUUAACCAAAUCUCAAUUGCUUAUUGUGUGGAAAUAUUUUUCUUAUUGUUUAUACGUGAUUUUUUUAUCUGGAAAUUGAAUCCCAAGUUUUUUUUAAAUAUUAAAGAGUCUACUUUCAAAAUUUUUAGUUUAAGUGUAAGUGCACUCAAUAUGAAGGAACAAAUCUUAAAUUUAGUAAGUACAGUUCUUGGCCAUGUAGAACUAUCCAGAGAACUUGAAUAAAACUCAAUAAUACAUAUCACUGUAAUUUUCAUGAUUGGUUUAAAGAAAUAUGAAACUUGGUUUGCAUACCAAGAAUGUGCAUGUUAAAUAUGUAUCACUAAAUAUUAAAAAUUUAAAUAAGCGUCAUAAAAACAAAACAAUAUUAAAUUAAACUCUGAAUAAAAUUUACAUUGUGUCAUGAAUAGUAAUUAAUUUUAACUUAGUUAAACAUUUUCAUGUUGCAAUGAUAUAUUUUAAGGUUCAACAUUCACAACUUCGCCAAUAAUAUCUAAACACACAAAACAUCAGAAAGGAGAACUUGUGAACAAACAUAUCAUAAAUUAAAUACAUCAACAAAAAAAAAUAUGAUAUAGAAAAUUCACCGACUAAACAUUCCUUUUCAUAUUGACGUCCCAAUAUUUCUUUAAAUUCCAUGAAAUAAUAAUUUUGAACUCUUUUGAAAAAUCAUCACAAGGUAUGAUUUUGGUUGUUCUAUAAAAAUUUAUCUUAAAAAUGAGAGGCGUUUUAUAUUUUAUGAUCUAAUCACCGGAAGCGAAAUUAUGCAGGAUAAAAAAAUCUCCUUGACAUAACUUAGAUCGGAAAUUACAAAAGACAAGUCGCCAAAAGAACAUUUAUCAAUAGAAGCAUGAGUCCCUAGUUGCCUAAAAAAUAAAUUUCAAAAUAAUUGACUAACACCAAAUCGUAUAAUUAAUGUGAAUCAAUAAUAAAAUAAAUUAAUAUUUACGAUGUAUAUCAACCAACACCAAUUCAGUUGAAAUUUUUUUUAAUUUUUUCAUUAUUCUAAAGUAUCAACACAUUUACUCUAAUUUUAUAGCAAUAUUUAGCCGACUCAGUAUCUCCAAUAAGAAAAAGUGAUACAUAUUUCUUUUUCCAAAAGACAAUGUUUGAAGUGUUUCAUAUUAUUUAAAGAUGAAAUUUUGUAAAUUUUGUGUGUAUUUCCCAUCUAACAUAUGAUGAGAAUAUGUACAUUCAUGGCAUAUUGUCGGCAAAUUAUAAUAAUAGAUUAUUAAAAUGGAUACUAAGAAAAAGUCGACAUCAUAAUUCUAUGUAUUAGCAUUUACAUACUACUAUAACUAUAAUACGACCUAGAGUAAGAUAAAUACCACUUACACAUUAUCUAUACUAUCAUUAAGCUAUAAACUAUAUUAAAAUAGAUUAUGUUCCACAUUUAGUAACGAAUAUGAUUUAAAAUUAUCCAGUAACAAAUAUGAUUUUAAAAUAGAAUAAUAAGAAUUGAUCAUAACUCGUCAAAGUUACAUUUUUAAUGAAUAUAUAUGUAUCUAAUUACAAAUCUUGAAAUAGUUGUAUUAUUUAAAUUAAUAACUCAGUUAAAAACUAAUAAUAAAUUAAUGAAUAGCUAAAACCUAAUAAAACAUGACAAAUUGGCAAAAUUAACUUAAAUCAAGGAGAACAUGACAAAUAAGAAAAAAUUUAAAAUAAUUAUAUAUCUAGUUACAAAAUGUAUAGUUAUAUCAUUAAAAUUAAUAAAUUAAUUACCUCAACUAAAAACUAAUAAUAAAUUAAUGACUAAGCUAAAACCUAAAUAAAAAUAUGACAAAUAAGCAAAAUCAAAAUAAUUUUAUAUCUAGUUACAUAUUUUGUAGUUGUAUUAUUUAAAUUAAUAAAUUAUUGGCUCAGCUAAAAACUAUUAAUAAAACUAUUUAUAAAUUAAUGACUCAGCUUAAACCUAAUUAAAACAUGACAAAUAAGCAAAAUUACUUAAAAUCAUGGAAAUCAUGGCAAAUAAGCUAAAUCACUUUAAAACUAUGUAUAGAUUAUGACUCAGUUUAUACCUAAUUAAAACAUGACAAAUAAACAAAAUUACCUAAAAUCAUGGAAAUCAUGACAAAUAGGCUAAAUCACUUCAUAAAUAAUAGUAUAGAUGAGGAUGAUGUGACCUCUUUGAACCUCUUUUUACCUCAGUUUGAGGAUGUUGCAGGCUCUGUGAGUUUCACUAUGAAACUCUAUUUACUUCAGUAUGAGGAUAUUAGAGCACCACCAUCGGUGAAGUUCUAAAAGUCAGUAUACAAACCAUUAAAUAAUAAUAUUAUAACAUAAUAAAAAUUUCUGAUUAAAAUUAAUUUUGUUGGUAAAUGAUAAGCCAAUAAUAUCAUGACACAUAGCAACACAAAUUUUAGAACCGUUCCUAAAAGUACUAUGUACAGAGCCUCUCUUAACCUUCUCUCUCCUUCUGUUAUUAUUUUAAUAUUUAAUUUUUUUUAGAACCUUGUAUAAAAGCAACCGAUGGACGUGCUCUUACAAACCAAAAUGUUCCGACACAAUUCCAUACUUAUGAUCCUAAAACCAAAGAAAAUCUCGACUUCCAGACAAUCAAAUCUCUACAUUCAUUAGUAAUGGCAUGGGAUUCUUAAUACAAGUGCUACUUGGGUAUACGACGCUUGGAAUUAGGGAGGCUAAUUUGAUGGUGAAGCUAAGAGUUUUUAGGGAUGACCGAUACAUUCGGCGUGAUCGAUCGAUCUGAUGUUUUUUUCCGAUCGAUCUGAUGUUGGUCGACAGAUUUUUGUUGACUUGCUCUUUCACCUUUUGGUCCGCAAAUAUUAUUGAUGAGAAACAUCCCACAUCGGAUAUAUAAGAAUUAAUCUACUACUAUAUAAAGGGUUAGGGCCAAUCCACUAAUUGCCAAUUGGUUUUAAGUUGGAAGCCCAUAAUUAACCAGAUUCUAACAUGGUAUCAGAGCGAUAAGAUCCUUUGACCUAAUUUACUACAACUACUACUACUAUACCGAUGUUGGGCCCUCUGUGGAUGUUAUUCCCAUAUUGUCCACGCUUCAGACCUAGAAGUCUGAGCGUGAGGGAGGGUAUUGAUGAGAAACAUCCCACAUCGGAUAUAUAAGAAUUAAUCUACUACUAUAUAAAGGGUUAGGGCCAAUCCACUAAUUGCCAAUUGGUUUUGAGUUGGAAGCCCAUAAUAAACCUGAAUCUAACAAAUAUCUUAAUGAAAGUGAUCGACCAAUCCAGAAGGAGGUCGGCCGAUCCAAAAGGAGGUUGGCCGAUCCUGACUCAGAUGCCAUUUUUGCUUUAGUUUCUCCAGUUCUUGCUUCUUUGGCCCAAAAUACCAAGAAAACUUGAAAAACACUUGAAAACAUGAGUUAAAUUGCGUUGAAAAACGCAACAUAUUAUUUAUCAUCAUCUAAUCCCUUUAAAGCUAUUUGCUGUCAGCAAUUUGAAAUUAGAAAGAAAGUAGCAUCACCUUGCGAAAUUUCUCCCCAAUCAUGACUAAAGCUGACGGCUGCAUGAAUAGAUCGAUAUAGAUGUAUCACUGUCUCCUUAACUGUCAUUGUGAUAACACUCCAUAAGUAUACUGUUUAUAAGCAAAAAUAUUUUACAUAUGCACACAUUACGUUUUUAAGGAUAUACUCAUCCAAUUCAGGAUCUCUGAUGCUAAGAAAAACAUGGUGCAUCAAAUUUAUAAUAACAUUGUUAAUUUUUUAUGUAUAUUCCGAAAUGAACAAAAAUAUUAUAAUUGAAUAAUCCGAAUCUUCGAAGUUAGAGCAUAGAAUAGAAGAUGCUUUUUUGACGACUUUUUCAAUGGUAUUUUAUUUCACUGCGACAAUAUGAUUGGUGUUAUUAAUGCACAUCUUCGUACUAUAUAGUGUUUUUGCUAUUCAUUGAAAAUACACCCUCAACUUUUCCAAAGUAACUUUAAUUUAUGAGUGUUCACAUGUUACUAAUUUAACUAGUCGUUCAUUUCCACAUGAUUAGUCGUUUUUACUAGUCACAACAUGCAGUUUUUUGUGAAGAUGUGAAAUCAAUUGCAGAAAAUCUAGACAUAAAAACAUCGUGGAGCCUAUGAGACCAAACAUUUAGUACCCGAACCCACAUGGACUAACAUGUAAAAUCUCCCUUUGCAAUUUAUUAGAAUGGUCAAGUUCUUUAAUAAUCUUGUAUAUUUAAAACACAGACGCCAACACACUUAAAUUUUUAUUUAACUUAUGUUCACAUCUCUUCAGUUAUGUGCAUUAUUGAUGUAAAGGUAUGUGUAUUAUUUUAAGAAAACAAUAUAAAUAAAGUUUUCUUUUAAUAUAUGUGGUAGCAAGAUCUUUAGUGACUUAUGAGUGUAUGAUCCACACAUAUCAUUCUCUUAUCAAUGCGAAUUUCUUGUCAGAUGAUAUCAGCUAGAGUAAAUGAAAAUUUUGGUAAUAUAACAAACUUGAGGAUACUUAGAACUUUACAUAAUAGUAAGUGAGAAGUGCUUGAAUAAAUCACAUUUCUUUCGUUAUAAAUUACAAUUAAUGUCUUAACUUUGCAAGUCUUUUUACUAAACAUGUCAUUAAAAUAUACUGUAUAAAUAUAUUCAAUCCAUUUCACAACGAGUUACUUUGACACACUUUACGUGAUUUAGAAAACUGUAAAAUAUACUUGUAUGCCUUUAUUUAAUAUAUAUAACUAAUUAAAUGAAAAUAAUUUAAAUAAAAUUUUAUUAGUUAUUUAAAAGACAAAAAUGUUUAAAAUAAUAUUAGAAUGUAGAAUAAAAAAUUUUGAAACAAAAUAUUUGAUAUUUUUGUGAAACAAAUGACGUAGGGAUUUUAAUUUUCCGAAAAUGAAAACGAUAUAAUAUGUCCACUUAAAUAAUUAUAUUUUCGAGUGUUACAUACUUGUCGGAUUUUUAUCGAUAAUGUUAUUGGAGAACAAGAGAUCUAAAGUUUGAUUUAUGGACCCUGAAGGCAGCAUGUAGCAUGAGACAUGGAUGUGACACGUGUUAUAGCCGAUUGUUAUGAGAUUUCUUUAUUAACUAGGUUAAGAGCGGGAUGAACAUUAUAUAUAUAUUAUUUUAUAUAUUAUAUGUUUAUAACAUAUUAUGAAAUAAUAAAUAUAUAUUAAAUAAUUAAAAAGUCAUUAUAUACUACUUAUAUAAUUAAAUUGGUGCGAACAUAUAAAUAAAUUUUAUAAAUCGAAAAAAUAUUUUUUCUAUUUGAUAUGAUAUAUAAUUAAAUUUAAAUGAUAGUAACAUAUAUAUGGUAUAAUUUUAAUAUUAAUAUUUGUUAGAUGAUGUUUUUUGCUCAUAUUUUUUUAUCAUUUUUAUCUGUUAUAGCAAAAAGUCUAACUUAGUGAUAACAAAAUUUUCACAGUGGAAUUAAUGGUUUAAGUAAUUUAUAAUAUUUUUAAAAAUUAAGUUGUCAAUAUUUUUUCAAAUUUUUUAUCAAAAAAAUGUUCAAAGUAAAUUUCAAAAUUAAGAUAUUUAUGUAUUUUUAUAUGGCAUAUAGUUUAAUUUAAAAUAAUACAUAUAUUUAUAUAUCUUUUAUUUUUGAUACUUAUUAAAUGAGACUUUCAACUUAUAUUAUUUUUUAAUUAUUUGUAUCAUAUCAUUACAAAAGUUUUAAAUCAUAGAUCACAAAAUUUGAAUGUGAAACUUUGAAUAGUUUUAGUAAUUUAUACUCGUUUAUAAAAAUUCAAAAUAUAAUAUAUAAAUAAUCUUUUUAAUUUUUAUUAUAUAGUUACUAUGAUUGUUUAAUUUAUUUUAAUAGCUUAAAAUUAAACAAAUAUAAUUAUAAUACACACUUAUUUUUAUCAAAUCUUUAUUAUUCAAAAUCAUUAAUUGUCAUAUAUACUUUAGCCACAUUAGGCAAUUUCGUAAUCUUAUUUAAGGAAAUAAUGAAGCACAUUAAUAAUGUAUUUAUUGUGGUUUAAUAAAAAGCUUAUUAUAUAUUUAGAUGGACCAACCUAUUUCUUUAAGGAUUCUAAGAAUCAUUCUAGUGAUGACACGUGGCUACAAAAAAAUGUUGCAAUGCUUCUCAAAUAAUAUAUAGGGGAUUACACAACCAAAACCAAUAAUAGACCAAUCCAUCUCAAUUCUUAAAUUUAUAUGAAUGCUACAUUAUAUAUAAACAACUAGUAUCACUUCUUGAUCAAAAAAAAAAAAAACUAGUAUCACUUCAAAAUCAGACUUUAGUUAAAUAAAUAACUAUUUUAGUCAAACUGUAACUGUAUAGGGUACGAAAUAUUAAAAUAAUUGGUUUAAUAUUAAUACUAAAAUAUGUAUCCGACUUCAAUAUAAGUCCAGCUUAGUUAACAGUUUUCUUGAUUAGUUAGUUAGUUGAGCUGAUUUUCUUUUAAGCAUAAUAAGAAAAACAACUGAGUCUCUUUUCUGCAAUUAAUUUGGUUGUCGCACCUUUUUUAAAGUUGAUUUUUGUUUUAUAUAUUCGCUAAUUUUUUUACAUCUAUUUAUUCUUUUCUUAAAAUAUCAAUACACAAUAUUCUGAAUGUGAAAUGAAGCUACUGUAUAUGGCUUGGCAGCAAUGAAUGUUUCACAUGAGUGUCACAUAUUGUGGUGCUUCCGUCUAAAAAUUCUUUAUAUAUUAAUUGAGAAUCAUUACAACUUUGUUUGGUAGAUACGUAUCUUCAUUCAUUGCGAUGAUUUUUAAAAUCUUAAAAAAAUAGGUUAGUACAUCUAAACAUAUAUUAUACUUUUAUUAAAGUAACUAUUAUAUUGCUUAGUGGUGUACAAAAUAAUAGUUUCAAUUAUUUCCUUAAAUAAAUGCUAAUUACCUAAUAUGAUUAACAUACAUAUGACAAUUAAUAAUUAUGAAUAAUAAAAAUUUGAUAAAAAUUCAUAUAUGAUAUAUUUGAAAUUUUUAAAACGGCUAUAAAUUACUCAAAAUGUGAAAAUUCCACUUUGAAAAUUUUGUAAUCAACAGUUUAAUUUAUUAUUUUUAUAGCAAGAUACAAGUGAUCAUCAAAUCAUACGAAUAUGAAGUCUCAUUUAAUAGAUAUUCAUAUUAAAUAUAUAUAUAUAUAAUAUUUUUAAAUUAAACUAUGACCAUAUAAAAGUACAUAAAUAUGUUAAUUUUAAAAUUUUGUUUUGAAAAAAUAUCACAUUGAUUUUUUUUUGAUAAAUGGUUAAAUUUUUUGUUACAGAAAAUAUACAAAUAUUAAUAAAAUCAUAUGAGUAGGAUGUCUCAAUAAUAAAUAUUUAUAUUAAAAUAUACUAUAUAUCUAUGUAAAUAUUAUUGAAAUUUAAUUCUAUACCAUACAAAAUAAAUAAAACGAUUAUCUUGAUUUGUUUACCAAAAAAUAUUAUAAAUAAACAAGAGGUAUUUUGAUGUAUGUGCUUACUUUAAUUUAAUUGCAUAAAAUGUAAACAUAAUGUUCAUCUCGUGCAAAGCGCAUGUCUUAACCUAAUAUGUAUAUAAAAAAGGAAAAUUUGCUCCUUACACAAAAAAAAACUCAAAUUCAUUAUCUAACAUAUAUCAGACUCUCUCUUCUCUUUUCUCUUCUUAUCUCUCUCUACGCUCUCUCUACAAAACAAAUUUCUCUUUUUCCGUUAUCUCACAAAUAAGCCCACAAAAAUUAGUUUGAAAAGGUAAGAUUAACAUUUUUCUCUUUAUCCUAUUUUUUAUAUAAUUUUGAUGAAACUUGAAAGCUUCCAUAAGUUCUUCCCCAUAUUCAAUUUCACCAUCAACCGAGAGAGUGCAAUGGCAAGAAAGCUAGAUUAGUUCAGAAUGGAUGUGGUUGACUUAUUUGUUUAUUUGAUAAAAAUGUAAUUUUUGAAAAAAAUGUAGUUAAGGUGUUAUAAGAGCAUCUCCAAUGGUUUAUCUCAUUUUUCCCUUCAAAAUGAUGUACCAUUGUAAAGGUUUUUUCUCAUUUUUUUGAUGUUUCCCUUCCAAAUGAAGGACUAUUGGAGAUGGUCUAAUAUGCGAGUAAAGAAUUGUGAAACGCAUGUGAAAUUUGUCCCUUAGUAAAAAUAAAUAAAAUACGUAGAAGCAAAGAAAUAUCUGAAUUCUCAAAAAUUUCACCUUGUAAGUAUCCAUAGCAAGAAUAUGAACUUGAAAACCCGAAAAUAAGAUACAGCUCAGGUGGACACGUAGAGAAGCAGGAAAAUAGAGGUGUUAAACGCUUGCACAAAAAAUCGGAAAUUGUUUUAUCUGGGUGCAAGAAGAAAGAACCAUCCUCAAUAGACAUGUGACGCUCAAUCGAAGAUUGCCCUCAAAGUCUAAGACACGACGCCCAGCCAACGACACCAAAUCCAUAAGUAGCGCCAAAACAACAACAACUAACAAAUAUUAAUAGUAGGAACUCACUCACAAGCCGAGCAAUAUCACCACUCAAAGACUACAAUGUAAUGGUGUUCAUAGCAGGAUCUCGCUGACUGAGUCGAAGCCCAUCUCCACUCUGAAGCCAUUGAGUAACAAAUCUUAACAGCAGAAACUCAGUUAUUAAACUUAGCUGCAUCACCACUCCAAGACUACUAGCUAACAGUGAUUAACAGUAGGAAUUUGCUGACAUUGUCGAAUCGCAUCACCAAUCUGAAUGCCAUUUAGUAAUUUUCUAUAGCCACGGCAUGGCCACCGCAAAAUCGUUGCUAUGUAGAAAAAAGCCACUAUUCUCAGUACUGGCUAAACUAUGGAUAUAGCUUCGUGGCUAAAAACAAUUGUUUAAUCGUGGCUUUUUAACCACGGUUUUUCACUAUACUUUUGUGGCUAUUUUAGCCACAUUUUUUCCACAGGCUAAUUGGUUACCUAUAGCCACUAUUUACUCACAGUUUUGUCAUGGCCAUUUAAGAAGAAAAUCAAUAAUUAUUUAUAGAAAUAAAUAUAAAUUAAUUUUAAAUCUGUAUAAUAUACUUAUACAUAUAUUCAUAAUCAGUUAAAUAUAAUCAUGUAAUAUACAAAUAUACAAAUAAAAAUAUACAAAUACAUAAUUAAAAAAUACAAAAAAAAAGUUGUCAGUGACAUCCCGAUGGAAUCACCGGCGCUCAAACAGAGAAGGCAACAGAAGCACCGCCACUCCAUACAUCCUGAAGAUGUAUAUUAUGUAUCAGCUCGUGAAGUACUACAUGAGGUAGUACAUUUGUAUGUCAUAAAGAUGGGCUGAGUUGGAAUUUAUAUUUUGUGAUGUCUGUGAGCUUGUUAAGCUUGGAAAAGAGAUAAUAUAUUUAUUGGAAGUCUACAUUAAGUGUAAAUAAUAUUACUUGAAGAUAAGAAGAAAUAGAGUUAUUCCUUAAGAAAAAAAAGUUGCUUAAGUUGCAUUUUGAAGAACUCUGGGAACAACUUAUGUUUAUGUAUAAAAAGGAGGAUAUGCUUCUAUGAAGAACAUUAUCUCUGCAAAAUAAGAAAAUCGAGAUAUGUUUGUUUGGUGCUUGUGUGAUCAAGCAUUUGGGGUUAGUGUUGUUCUUUUGGUCGCGAAGCACUUUUUUAUGAAUUUCCAGAGUGUUGAAAGAUUGAAAUCUAGAUUUAGGGGGAAUUAUGCUCAGGGUUAGGGUUUUGUUAAAUCAAAAACUGGACUCUAUAGUGAAUUUUACUUUAGGAUUGGAUUAUCCUAAUAAAUCAUUGUAAUAAAAAGGAUGGUAUUUCAGGAGGUUGUACCUGAUUUAUGCAUUAGCAUAUUGGUGUAUUUUGCUUUCUUUGUUAAUUCAGAAAGAAAAACUUGUGUCAAUUACUUUCUGCUGUUUAUUUUCUAGUUUCAUAUGCCCUUACAAUUGGUAUUAGAGAAUGUCACCUAAGUUACUAGUAAAAUCACGAAGGGUAAGGAGAGAAACUGGUCCGGCCAGUUUUAUUAGCAUAUGCACGAAUUUCCCAAUACUUGAUACAAAUUUGGUAAAAUUUUCUAUAGACUGAGAGUAAUUAGUCAGACCAUAAUAUGAAUUCUAGUGCUAUGAAAAUUUUAAAUGAAAUGAAAAGUCAUGUCAUCACAUGGUAUUUGCUUUAUUGUGACAUCGCACAUGAUGGGCCACAAUGUUAGAUCAACAUGAAACACUUAUCUUAAAACCCCUUGACGUUCAUCAACCCAUCUCUGGGAACUCUUCGUUUUAUUUAUUUAAUAACUAUUCGAAAUCUCCUUCAAUUAUUCAACACAUUUUAAAUAUUACAACCUUUUUAGGACCCCACUUACUUAUUUAUUUAUCAUAUAUAGGAAGCUAUAUUAGUAUAAGAACUAACAAUCUCGAACUAACAUUCAUAUAAUAUUUUCGUAUAUAAUUUCAUUGUAAAAUUUAUAACGACGACUAAAAGCAUUUCCAAUUUCAUUUCAAUUUUCAUUUCCAUUUUACAAUGGAAUAAAAACAAGUUUACUCCGAAAUAGACUAAUCAUACACAUUACUAAAUUUUUAUACCUAAAUAAGUGGAAUUAAUUAGAAUAAUGUGUAUUUUAAUUUGAAAUUACUCAGUUUUAGAGAACAAAUAGAGUAAUACAGUGUAGAUGCUCUAAACAUUUGCAAUUAGUAAUUUUUGAUAUAAUAUAAGAGUUAUUCUUGAUUUCACCUCCAUAGGAUGAACUUUUAGCCUUUAAGUUUACCAACCAAUAAAAUUUCGUUCUUUUAUAUUCGAUAUUUAAAAAAAAAACAAAAUAUUUUCAAGUUAUAUUAUGUUCUUAAAAUAAAAAAGUAAAAAAUAAUAAUAAUAAUAAUAAUAAUAGUUAAAAAAAGAAUUGGAAAAAAUAUAUUUUUAACGUCUUCAGCAAAACACUAAACCCUAAAUUCUAAAUUCUAAACCCUAAAUUCUAAACUUUAAACUCUUGGGUAAACUCUAAACCCUUGGAUAAAUUCUAAACCCUAAACCCUAAACACUAAAACAGUCAAGGGUUUGGGAUUCAAGAUUUAGGGUUUAGUGUUUUAGUGUUUAGAGUUUAGGUUUAUCCAAGGGUUUAGAAUUUACCCAAGGAUUUAGGGAUUAUGAUCUAAGGUUUAUGGUUUAGUGUUUUGAUGAUGACGUUAAAAAAAAUUAAAUUUUUUUUGCUUUUUGUAACUAAUACUAUUUUUUAUUUUUUUUAUUUUAAAAACAUAUUAUAACUUUACAAUAUUUUGUUUCAUUUUUUAAAAGAUAUCGAAUAUGAAAUAAUAAAAUUGUAUUGGUUGGUAAACCUAAAAGUUCACCCUAGAGUGUGAACCCAAGAAUAAGUCAUAAUAUAACCACUGAAUAUAUCAAAUUAUGGGUUUGAUUAGUAUUAAAUAGUUAUCAGUUGAAAAAAGAUAGCAACUAAUAACAAGAGAACUAAUUUUCAGAACGUAUAUAUAUCAUCUAACUUAGAUGAUCUAAGACAGACUAUGAGUAUGAGAUGAUUGAAAUGUAGUGGAAAAACUUCGACACUGUCGUUGGUACUAAGAUCCGUUAAAGUGGACUUGAUGCGAAAUAAAAACGUAAGGCUCGGAAAUAUGUGAUUAUAGAAAAAGAAACAAAAAUGAUUUUGAGAUUUGUGGUUUAAGUGGCAUUGAAACAUAUCGCUUUCUUCCCUCGUGACAUCAUUGUCGAGGUUUAUUGCUCUUUCUUGUGGUCCUUUGGGACUAUUUAAAUCUCUCUUAUCACAGUCUCAGUUUUUAAGUGUGUAUUCAAAGACCCCAAAACACUCCCUCUUAUAUUCAUCCUCCUCUCUUUUUUUCUUCUUAGUCUUUUCUUUUCAACUUUAAACCUUAUCAAAUCAUAAAGGCUAUAUACCUACUUGCCACAUAUAUAGCUCAUUUCUCAAUUUCUUAAACUAUUCUACAAUCCAGUCAGAGUAUAUAAACAAACAACUAAAGAGUGGUUUUGCUACAUUGUUGAAUAUGUCAAACAGAAGAUCAAGGCAGUCUUCAAGUGCUCCCAGGAUCUCCGAUGAUCAAAUCAUCGACCUUGUAACUAAGCUCCGUGAGAUUUUGCCGGAGAUUGGCCAACGUCGUCGUUCCGAUAAGGUAUCACACACAUAGAUUAUAUAUACGUAAACAUAUUCACUUUUUUGUGGUCAAGAAUAUUUCAUUUUUUGGGUUAAAAGAUAGAGAAAUAUAUUCAUUUAUUAAGACCAUUUAACAUUAUCCCUCAUGUAAACCUCUUUUAUCGAAAAAACGUUUUAUUUAAAGAAUACAUGACACAAAAAUCAAACAAAAGAAAAAAAGAAGUCGGAACUUUUUGACUCCGGGCAUCAAAGAACAUAACAAUACUCGCAAGAUUUUCCUUCCACAAAGACAUACAUUUUCCAUCAAAACCAUCGACAUUAUCUACAUAUACAAAACAUGCAUGGAUGUAGAUAUAUAUACAUUAGUGCCGGCCCUGAAUAUUUUCAGACCGGAAGCAAUAAAAGAAAACAAGGUCUAUUAGGCUCUUAAUAAUUCACCUUUAAUAAAAAGGAAUAUGUAAAAAAUAUAUAUAUAUUAGAGAAAUUCUAGUGUAGAACAUCGAACUCUGCACCUCCGUCUCUACUUAUAGCUUUCAAAAACCGUGGUUAAAAAGGAUAUUUACAAAUCUGUGGCCAAUUAUUUACUUAAAUCAAUCGAGGCCGGAAGGCUAAGCUUCCAUAGCUUCGCUCAGGCCGUUUCUGUUAGUCAUGACACUUUUUGAUUAAUUAUAUAAUAGGUGUCAGCCUCCAAAGUUUUGCAAGAGACAUGCAACUACAUACGAAACUUGAACAGAGAAGUUGACAACCUCAGCGAGCGUUUGGCUCAGCUUCUCGAAUCUGUCGAUGAAGAUAGCCCUCAAGCGGCCGUCAUAAGAAGUCUACUCAUGUAAUCUGUUAUGAGUUUCCAUAUAAUAUAUGUAAGCUAAUCUUCCUUUAUUUUAUGAACUUUUAAAGAAAUGAGAAUGAUCUUUAGACCUAGAAGCAGAACCGUUUUGACUUAUGUUUCCUUACCCGCCAUUUUGGCUACAUUAUAGGGAAAUGGUACUACAUUUCGUUAAUAAUAUAAACAUAAAAUGUUACAAUUAAAAAAAAUGAAGUACAAAGACUGAACAAAAUUUAAGCCGCACACCAUUUCUGUUUGGAUUGGACAUUUUAUUCUUAUGUCAAACUAAAGCCUUGGCCUCACCAAAUAACCGGAUAAAACUGAGGCUGUUUCUUACUAUUUUGUCGAUAGACUUUGUGUGUUUCAAUAUCUUCCGUUCUCUCCAAAUGAUUUGGACUGUAGUUUGAAAAACAUACUUCAUUCUGAAAAGUGUUUUUUCAAUCCAAUGUUCUGGAUAUCAGAUGAGUGAGACUAUCCUGUUGGAACUGUUUUUUGGACAAAUGGCUAUGGCCAAUAUUCCGGUGAUUUUUUCGAACAAUUUGAUUGUCGAAAUGACCGGAUUGUGGAAUCGUUGAAUUCAUUGUUAUGAGCACUAUAAUAUAGUGUAAUCAUAUGUCAAAAACGAAGUUCGUUUGAAUGAGAAAUGAAAGUCUAAAAUAGAUUAUUUGUAAAAUAUCUAUAUUAGAAUUAUGAGGUAAAAAACCUCUUGUGUAUAAAUGGAGAAACUAAAACAAAGGUAUAAAAACUUUGUAGACACUUUGGUGUACAAAUAUAAACAAAUUGAUUAAAUACUCAUAUACACACAGUGAUAUUUUUGGGUUUUAGAAUUUGUUAAUUUAAAAUUUUUAAUUAUGUUCUACGCAAAGUAGAUAUUAUCUUCUACGAGAAAUGGCAUGGUCAAAACUGAAUUCCAGACUAAACAAAUUAUUUUACUUUCGCUAGAAUCAAUAAUCACAUAAGGAAUGCAAAGUUACACAUUUUAAAGGUAGCUAGAUUUAUUCUGAAUGCAGUUUCUACUUUAAUGAGAAAAAAUGAUAAGAUCCGCGUCUUGCGCGAGAUAAACAUUAUAUAUACUAUUUUUUAUGUAUUAUAUGUUCUUUUACAUGUUUUGAUAAUAUAUAUAUAUAUAUAUAUAUAUAUUGAAUCAUAAAAAUUCAGUAACUAUUACAUAUAUAAUUAAAUUAGUUGUGAACAUAUAAAUAAAUUUCAUUAAUCCAAACAAUCAUUUUUCUAUUUUAUAUGGUAUAUAAUUAUAUUUAAAUGACAUUAACAUAUAUAUGAAAUUUUAAUAUUGAUAUAUAUUAAAUGAUGCUUUCUACUCAUAUAGUUUUUGAUAAUUUAUAUAUUUUUAUAAAAGAACUUUAGUUCACUGAGAACAAAAUUUUCAUUGUGUGAUUAAUAGUUAUAGUAAUUUAUAUUUUUUAAAAAAAUUCAAGGCUAAGUUUAAAAUUUAAAUAUUAAAUUGUCAAUAUUUUUUUCAAAGCUGUUAUCAAAAAAAAAUUUGUUCAAACCAAAUUUUGUAAUUAAAAUAUUUAUGUAUUUUAUAUGGUAUAUAUUAUAAUUUAAACGAUAUAAAUAUAUAUAUAUAUAUAUAUAUCUUUUACACUUAAUGUUUAUUAAAUGAGACUUUUUAUUUAUAUGAUUUUGUAAUCAUUUGUAUUUUAUCAUAGCAAAAAUAUAACUUUUUUACUAUAUGGUUACUAUAUGGUUAAAAAUAACCAUAUUUCCAAAAAAAUUAGUUACAAAAUAUUCUAAAAAUAUUUUGAAAUCUUAUUACUUUCCUAAAACGUGUACCUACAAUUUUCUUGUCAAAAAUCAAAAACAUUGUAGUUAAGCAUUUUUUUCUUCAUCAAAACAUGAUUUCUCCAUUGUUUUUUUGUGAUUUUGACCAACUCUUCUUCUAUGAUGAUUAUAUAUACGACAUGUGGGGCUUUUAAGGCUUUUGUUGGUUUAAUUUCUUUUAUAUCAAAAUUUAUUUUAUUUAUGUUUAUCCCUAAUACGUUUUUAAUUUAUAAACUACUUUUAAAUUGUAUUUUAUUUGAUAAAUCAUUGAUUAUUUUGGGAUUAUGAGAAAAUCUAUACUAUAGGCCAAACUAAGGUUAUAGGGACAAAAAGUGUGUUUUCAUUCUAUUUUGGCACGAUUUCCUUAGUUAUAUAAUGAAUUUUGUAAAACAUAUCAGCAUCAUCCGGUCAACUUCGGAAAGAACGUAUUUAGUGCUACGGAGUGGACUGGCUACCACACACAGUAAAAAUUUGAAAUAUUACGUCUAGUGAAUGUUCGAAAUGUUACAUACAGUGAAAAUUUUGGAAGUUACAUUCAGUGAAAAUUCAGAUUUUUACAUUUAGGAAAAAAUUGAAUAUUUCACAUUUUGUUAUUUAUUAAACAUUAAAUAGGAAAAAUGGAAAUGUGUUACGUUUAUGGUGUUUUAUUGAUUGUUUAUCACUCAUAUACCUUUAGAUAUGCACACUAUUACAUUAUUUCCCCAUCAGAUCAGCCGUCACGAUUUGGCAAUCUCUCUUCCAAUCAGAGGAUAAAGAGAAGCGUGGAAGUGUUGUGUACUGAACCAAGAACGUUCGAUCAGACCAUUAAGCACCAAAAGUUAUAAACAUUAGAUGUAAGGGUGAGUGUUCGGAUACCCAUUUGGGUACGGUUCGGGUCUAUUCGGUUUCGGGUUAAGGAUUUCAGUUCCAUUCGAGUAUUUUUAAAUUUUGGUUCGAGUUCGGUUCGGAUCUUUACGUGUUCGGAUAACCCAUUUAAAUUAUUUUUAAAAUUUUAAAAUUCAUUAUAAACUUUAAAUUUUCGCAAACUCUAUAAAAAUAAUAUAUUUCAUAUAAAUUUAAAUAACAUAUGUCAAAAUACCUAAACUUAACAUAUAAUGUGGUUUGGUUUGAAUAUUUUGGAUAUAAAUCAAUAGAUAUUUCAAGUAUUUUUGGUGUUUUGAGUAUUUUUAACCUAUUAAGGCAUUUAUUUUUGACUAUAGGUAUAUAAUUUCAAGUAUUUGGAAUCUUAUAUAUUUUGAAUGUUUUUAAAUAAUAUAUUAAAUGUAAAAAUAAUUAAUAUGUUUAGGUAUAUAAAAUCUUUUUUGGAUAUAUUCAAGUACUCAAAAUACUUUGGUUCGGGUCGGAUUCGGUUUCGGUUUUUUAGAUACCAAAAUUUUGAACCCACUCGAAUAUUUAGUUAAUUUCGGUUCGGAUUCGGUACAAUUUUUUUGGAUCGGAUUCGUUUCGGUUAUUCGGAUUCGGGUUUUUUCGUCCAGCCCUAAUUAGACGAGUGAAUUCUGUCUUAAACAAUUACGCAAGGCAAGACCAACGACAUCAUUAAGAUCGGUCCACAGCCCCGUUUAGGUAAACCAGUGACUAGACUACUCAUUACUCAUUAGUAACUGGUUUACCUAAACCGGAUGUGGUUAGGUAAACCAGUGACUAGACUAUCCGACUGUAAUUUGCAACUAAGCUAAAACAAAAUAUGCACACUGCAAGUCUGCCACUAUCCCAGAGAUGUACAAUAGUAAUUUUUCCAUUGCUGCAUCGGUUGAGUUUGUCAUAACAACAACUAUUGGUUUAUUUGGUUAUAGAAAUUGUAAGAAUAAAAAAAAAACUUCUGAACGGUUUUAUAAUUUUCCAAAAAGAAAAAUCUUGAAUUGCAUAAAUAAACUAGUACCAUAUGAUUUCAGUCUUUUUGUCUUCUAAGAGACUUUGAGUAUUUGUUGAAAAGCCUCAUGUGGUAUAUCAACAGAACCAACUCUCUUCAUCCUUUUCUUCCCUUCUUUCUGCUUCUCAAGAAGCUUCUUCUUCCUAGUUAUGUCUCCUCCAUAACAUUUCGCAAGCACAUUCUUCCUCAUCGCAGAGAUAGUGUCUCUCGCAAUGAUCUUUGAACCUAUAGCAGCUUGUAUCAUCACUUCAAACAUCUGCCUCUCUAUGAAGUUCUUAAGCUUCUCAACAAGCUCUUUCCCCACACGGUAAGCUUUCUGGUUGUGAACAAUAGUAGCUAACGCAUCAACUGCUUGACCGUUCAAGAGGAUGUCAAGCUUCACAAGAUCAGAUUUCUGAUACUCUGCAUCCUCGUAGUCGAAAGAAGCGUAACCUGAUGUUAUGCUUUUCAACUCAUCGUAGAAAUCAACAACUAUCUCCCUCAAAGGUAGCUGGUACUUCAAGAAAACACGUUGCGCGUCUAUAAAUGUGUACUCUAGCUGCUGGCCUCUUCGGUCAGAGCAGAGGUUGAUCACAGCUCCUACGUACUCACUAGGAAGGAUGAUUGUGGCGAUCACCGUUGGCUCCCAAGAAGCUGUGACUCUGUAUUUGGGGUUUGAAGGUAAUGCAGCAGGAUUCUGCACUUGCAACUUGCUCCCAUCUGAGUAUUCGAAGGUGUAAGGAACGGUAGGGAUCGUGGAGAUCACUUGUGUACCGUACUCUUGUUCAAGCCGCUGAUGAAAUACAUCCAUGUGAAGCAAACCGAGGAAGCCACAUCUGAAUCCCAUCCCAAGAGCUGCGCUUGUUUCCUUAGCCACCGAGACACUUGCAUCGUUACACGUCAGUUUCUCUAUUGCAUGAGUAAGUGCUUCAAAAUCAGAUCCAUCAGCAGGAUACACGCCUGAGAACACCAUAUGCCUCACCGGCUUGAAACCUACAUUCCACCCAUAAGCUCAUCAAUAUUCUCAAUUCUCAGUUCCAAGACUAGCAUAGGAGAGACACAAGUACCUGGAAGAGGCUCCACAGUGGUUUUUGUUCUGUAGAUUGUGUCACCAAUACGUGCCUCUUUCGUAGUCCGCAUGCCGGUUACUAUAUAACCAACCUGUCCCGUGAGAAGCAUUCCCGUAGAGGUAAGCUCAGGGUGCAUGAUCCCUACAUCUAACACUUCAUAAGACUGGCCAGUGGCAGCGAACGAGACCUUAUCUCCUUUCCUCAGCAUUCCAUCAACGACAGAGACAUAGCAGACGACACCUUUGUACUCAUUAAAAAAGGAAUCGAACAAAAGCAUCCGUAGAGGAGAGUCACUGAUCCCAGGAGGAGGAGGUAUCCGUUCUAUAACCGCGGGAAGCACAUGCUCGAGCCCCAAGCCGGUUUUGGCAGAGACUAGAAGAACCUCAUCCGUGUCGAGAUCAAACAUGGACUUCAACUGAGCUUUGACACGGUCAGGAUCAGCCGUUGGUUGAUCGAUCUUGUUGAUAACAGGUACAAUAGUGAGGUUAGCUUCAAAAGCUAAGUAAAAGUUAGCCACUGUUUGCGCUUGAACACCUUGAGCCGCAUCGACGACCAAGAGAGCUCCUUGACAAGCGGAUAAAGAUCUAGAAACCUCAUAGCUAAAGUCAACAUGGCCUGGUGUAUCAAUCAGGUUCAGAAGAAAACCGCUGGCUUCUUCAUCUUUAACUUUGUUUUCAUAGAACAUUGUCGCUGUUUGAGCUUUCACAGUGAUUCCUCUCUCCCUCUCUACCUAAAACAAACAUCCACAACUACUUCAUUUUAUGAAACAUUUUCUUCUAGAGCCUAACUGUACGAAAAAGACCAGGUUCUUAACUCAUGAUUUGAUUUUUUUGUUUCUUUUUUUUUUUUACAUUUUUUGAACUGGGGUUCUUAUAUAAGAGACUAUUCUUAGUUUUUCUUAGUUAAAAUAAAAAAAAAAAGUUAAAAACCAUUUCUUAACCGAAACUAAGAAGCUAACCUCACUCUCGUACCUGCAAUUUAUCGAGAUAUUGAGGCUGGCCAUGGCCUUUCUUGAUGGUGCCAGUAAGUUCCAUGAGACGAUCGGCCAAAGUAGAUUUGCCAUGAUCGAUAUGAGCAAUGAUGGAGAAGUUUCGGAUCUUGUCGGAAGGAAACUGUGUCAGAUCAACGGCGGGUUCUUUUUGCUUAGAAUCUGAGCUGAAGCCGUAAGCUUGUUGCGAUCCGACACGUAACGGAUCUCUUCGGUUGGGUUUGGCUGGAUUGAACAAGAGUGAGAAUGCUUGUCUCGAUGACUUUAGGGUUUUAGAGGCUCUGUACAUAGAACCCAUUUGGGGGUUUUGCGGAAGCAGUGAGAUUUGGGGAGUUUCAACUUUCAACACAAAGAUGUGUUUAGAGAACUCAUCGUCUAUACGACACCGUUUAGAGGCAUUGCAGAUUUACAAUAAACAGAUGUUAAUGUAACAAGUCAUAUUUUAUAAAGUCACACCCUUUGGAUCAUCACAAGUCAUAUUUACCAUCUUUUGAGUGGAUGAGGAUAUGCUCUCUGCUAGAACUCUAGUUAAAAAUGACUAAUCAAAAGAAUAUGUACAAGGAAAUCCAUUUCAAGCUUUGAUUGGUACAACUAAUGACAAAAUGAUAGUAGAAUACUAUAGAAGUUGUAUGCUCUAAAAAAUGUGUUAAAUAAAGUGACUGGUAUCGCAGUAAAUGAUUCAUAUAUAAAAAUAUUAUAUAAAAUUAGUAUAUGAUACAUAAUUUUUUUAUUUCUAAAUAAUAUAGAUAUAUUUAUAUUUAUAAUAUGUAUAUAUAUAUAUAUAUUAAUUUUAUUUAUUUACAGUACUUAAUCAUAUUUUCAUAUAUAUUUAAUUAUAUUUUAAAUGUAAAAUAUUAUUCUUAGAAAGUAAUAAUUUUAGUAUAUAUAUAUAAAUUUUAAUACAAGUACAAAUUUUUGAUAUUUAAAAUAAAAUAAAAUAACUUUAUCAAAAUUAUUUGAAAUUCUUAUAUAUUUUUAAUGCAAAUUCUCUACAAAAAGUUUCAUAUUAGAAGAUUAGAAAAAGAGCAUAAUCAACCCUACAAUAUGGACAAAUCCUUGGAUUCUUGCUCUUCACACGAGGUCAACAGUAUUAAAACAUUAAAUCAGUUUGAACCACCUACUAAAGAUUAAAAAUCUCAUUAAUCCAGUAAAUUUUUCUAGGAACAUAAAUUUUCUAAAUGCAUACAUACAUCAAGAAGAUGUGAAAGUUAUCAAAGUUUGGGUGAUAAGUCGCAUAUGUAAACCAAAUACUAAUAGGUGAAAUUUUACAGUGUCAAGUAAGUAUACAAUUAAAUCGAGAUAUAUGAUAGAUGUAUCUGAUAGGAGGACUAGAUUGGCUUUUUAUGGACCAAGUACAAAAACAUUAAUGGAUUUUGCGUAAAAACUAAAGUGCCCACCAAAAUUACAUCAUUUUGUUUGACAUAUCAUAUCGGGUAUUCUAUCGGUGACUAAAAGAUUGCAAUCAGGUAAUUAGGUUAUAUUUGAAUGUCCACCAACUUUCCAGGCAUGGGCGCUAUCACAAAUACUUUCAAAUCGAGGAACUUUUUCAACGUCAUGAGUUUUCACCAUUAUGGAUUAUUUGUUUCAAAGACUGUUGAAAGAGUAUGAGUUUGGAUAAUUUUCUUAGAUUAUGUGGUAUAUUUGGAAGAAUAUGAAUAAUAAGAUUUAUAAAUAAUAAAAACAAAAACAAAAACAAACAAGAUAUUUUAAGUAUAACGGAAAUUGAAAUAGCUUUGUUGCAAUUUGCAGUUUGAUAAAAAUUUGUCCGGAACAAAUCAGAAGAGUGUUGGUGACGGACCACAAUUCUGAUUUGUUCCAAACAAAUUUUUUAUCAGAUUUUGUAUCACCAUCUUCGUUAAUUUAGAACAAUAUGUGUGAAAAGUGAAAACAACUUCCGAAAACUAUAAGGUUUUCCUGCACUCUAUGCACCACGUGAAGCUUUUUCCGUUAUGAAUCUCAUAUGGACAAAUUUUGACGAUUUAAAUAAUUUUUCCAUAAUUUCUCAAUCAUGCAUAUACAAAGAGCCAAAAAAUAUAAUGAAGGAAAAAGCUUCACUUGGCGCAUAGAAUUUUCCUUAUGGUUUGCUAUAUGUUGAUUUUGUAGCUCAGAUAUUAUUGUCAAAAACAAUUUACAGUAUUGCUUUUUUUCUUCAUGAGUAAACGGUAUUAUCAAAAUUUAGAGCUCAGAUGACACAAUCAAAUCAAGAGUAGAUGCAUAAACUUAAUCAUCAUAAAGAAGAGUCUAAAACAUUUUCAACAAACCAUUUCAAUCAAUCACAAAGAAAGGACAAAGAGGAAUCAACAAAGCCAUUUAUUAAUAUAGGUUUUACACAAUGGCUUAUUGGUGAGGUGUUAACUUAAUGGAUUACUAUGCCCUGUGUUUGAGAACUUUCUUCUCAAGUUCAUCUUUCCUUGCUCCAACGAUCCUUUCAAUCUCUUUACCAUUUUUCACCAGCACAAAAGUUGGCAUCCCCGUCACAUUGAACUCUUUAGCCACAUCCUGAAAACAUUGAAAUUGUAGUAUGUUUUUAAACCUUUAUUCUCAUAACAAAAACACAAAUGAAUGUGGCGGAAUCCAUCUCAAACAACUCGACUGAUCUGCAGAUGUACCAUACCAAAAAUAUAUAUAUCUACCAGACACAAAAACAGUGAAUACUGGAGGCCAAUUCCAUUAAUGGUGGAUUCAAAUGUACAUAGACAGCAGAAAAUUGAAACCUUGGUCGUAUAUUACAGUAUAACAAUAACAAAAUGCAGUAAAGUUUCAAUCUUUAUCUCACUACAGAACCAAGAAAGUGCGGAUAAAGAAGCAGGUGGCUAAACCCAAUUCCACAAGAUCAUAUCUUAUAUCAUCAGAACUUGAUCCGAUCAGCAGUUAUACUAUAGAGCUAUAUCUACCUUCAUCUUCCCAACACUGGAUCAAAAUGAAAACUCCUUACCAGACACAUAAACUGUGAACGAUGGAGAUCUACCCCAGUAAUGAUGGAUACAAAUGUCGAGAGAAACCGAAAGUUGAAACCUUGGUCGUACAUUACGACAAAAUGCAGUAAAGUUUCAAACUUUUUUCUCAUUACAAAACCAAUAAAGUUCAGAUGGGUAAAAACCCAUUUCAUCAAACCCGUAUCAUAUAUCAUCAGAACUCGAUCCCAUCUACAGCUAUACUAUAAAGCUACCUACUUUGUCGAUGGAUCUAUUAAAGUUUAUUAAACUUACGGGAAGUUCAUCGACAUCCAAUUUGACGAAUUCAACAUCAGUGAACUUGGCAGACAUGGCGAUGAACGCAGGCUCGAUCAUCCUACAAGGUCCACACCAGGAUGCUGAGAAGUCAACCACCAGCUUCUCUCCCACAGUUCAAAAACCCAAUAUCAGUUAACUCGAUUUCACAUCUAACACGAAUCGGAUCUGAUCGGAUCGGUACGUACCAGUUUCGAGGAUUCUUUGAUCUCGUUGAAGUGAAGCUGCCACCGAGCCGAUGAGCUAAACUUCAUGACGCGACUUUCGGAUUCAUUCCCCGCGACUGCUUCAUCUCCACCACCACCUCCUAACACAGAUGAUAAUACACCUCCCAUUUUCUCUCUUCUCUCUUCUUUCUAAAAGAGUCUUUUAUGAACAAGUAAGCGGCGGAGAAUAUUAUUCCGCUUAAGAACCACGCUCUCUUCCCUGGUCAACGAUGGUAUGCCCACACACAUCCUGCCGUUUUAUGUUUUUACUUUUGAUUCCACACGGAUGCACAUCCUGACGUUUUUAUGCUAUCUCUAUUAUUCUCUAAGCCAGGGGUGGGCGUUCGGGUCCUUCCGAUUCGGGUCGGGUAUUUCGGAUUUUUGGGUAUUUCGGUAUAAAUGUGUAAAACCCGCUCGGGUAUUUAUUGUAUGAGCCAGCUAUUGUAUUCACUUUCACCAUCCAAAUUGAACAUUUAAUAAUCAAAUGCAUGUUGAUCCUGUUUAUCCAGAGCGGCGACUUAGAGGACAAGAUAAGCAAAGGUUAAUUUCAAGCACCAUAAUGUAUUCACUUCUUAAGCUUCCUUCGCAUUUCGAUUUGCAAACUUCUGGUCAUGCUAUCUUCACUCUUCUACGGUUUUAUUACAUGAUUUAUACUGAUUAACAAAAUUUCAUGGCCUCAGUCAACAUUCUUAAUCGGCUCCCGAAAACACCAAAUUUUAAACAUGAUAUAUUAAAAUAGCAAAUAUUACAUCCAUAAACUGACUUAUUAAAAUUAAACACCAGUAAAUAAAGUUGCAAUAUUAUACAGAUGCAUAUAUAUAACAUGCUACAUAUAAGGCAUAUAUCCGUCAUAUGCAACGGUUUAUUGUGCAGUUAAUAGAAUACUAAGUGGGAAAUAUUUAAUAGCUCCACAUACUCAUUUUUUUUUCAUUUCUUAUUAAGCUGACGCUGGUUCUUGAAGUGAUCUCUCGGGUUGGCUUCGAAAGGUGCCCUAGGAAUAAUCAAACCAUUCCCACCAGGAGCCUUCAUCAUCUUCUCUUUCGGGCCGUUCUCAUCUGAGCCUGAGGUCAUCCACGAGAAUAGACUAACGGCCGCUCCAAUGGCUCCAACCACGCCUAUGACUUUGGUCGCGGUAUCGUAAAAUGUCGAACUCUCAUCUUUGUCAUCUUUUCUCUCGGUGCUGUUCAUAUUGAUAUGGUCUCUAUAUGAGUGUUUUGAUUUGUUGAGUUUAAAGAGGGGACUCAGGAGUGAGUUAUAUAGAGUGGCAAGCUAGUGUACCUUGCCCCUCAGGAGUAAUGAAGACUUUAAUUACAUAGUAAAGGGAGGUUUAAACAUUUCUACUAUUAUUAUUUAAAAAAUGAAUGAAUUAUUUUACAUUAUUGUACUACUAGGUUAAAGCCACUUUCUUGCUAUCGGUCAGAGGAAUCUUUAGUACAAGAAAAGCUUUUUGUUUGUCUAAUGGUUAGAAUGAAGAUGCUUUCGUACGUGCAUCAUGUUUGGAUAAAUUUUUCAAUGGAUUGCAAAUUUGAAUUAUUACUAAAGUGACAACAACUUUGAAUCAUUGAAUGCAAAUUUCAGUCGCUAAAAUUAAAACCACAAAUGGAUUUAAUAAUUUCAGUGUACCUUCCCCCUCCGGAGUAAUAAAGACUUCAGUUAAUUACAUACUAAAGUCUCUAUAUUUAUCUUUUGAUCAGAAAAAGUCUCUGUAUUUAGCUAAAGGGAGGUUUAAACAUUUC